RNAcentral lists this long non-coding RNA (70258 nucleotides) under Triticum aestivum (bread wheat). Its description in RNAcentral is "long non-coding RNA (TAES_LNC010183)". The record is from RNAcentral. Lineage: Eukaryota; Viridiplantae; Streptophyta; Magnoliopsida; Poales; Poaceae.
UGUCCAGUGUCAUUUUUUCACUGCUUCAUGGUUAAGAAGUUGCAGGCGCCAGCUCCAGUGGCUGGUCUCCAGGGUUGCUGAUCCUGGAACGUCUGUUGACAUGUCUGGUUGAUAUUGAUAUUGUUAUUGAGUUUGGGUCUGUCAGUAUGUUGAGGUGCUGUGUGUUGUUCUCUAGUGUGUGUGUGGUGUCAUGUAGGGUUGCUUUUUUCUUGCGGUUCCUCUUAGGAAUGUCUGGUCUUCGGGAUCUGGCCGUCGCGAGGCGCAUACUAGAGCCUCGCGACUACAACCCUGUAUGGUUGUUUUUCUUGACAGGUCCCUGAUUUUACCGGCAUGAUGUUGAGGACUGUAAUCUUUGCAACCUUAUAAGAAUAAAUGAAGUAUGUGUUUGUUUUGCAAGUUCUAUUCUUGUACAUCCAUUGAUUUUUUCUUCAAUAUGUUUAUCAAGGAUGUCAAGUGUGUUGUCUAGUAACAAGAUGCAUUCUUGAAAGUUGGCUGCUCGAUGUGCCAAAAUUUGAAAUUUGAGGGGCAUAUUUUGAUAUCCAAGAAUGGCAUCCAUAUUUGGAUUUGCGAUUAUAUUUCUUCCCAUGUUGUCUUGUACAAUUCCAGUCCGUACUUCUCUUGGCCAUCGCUUUAACACAUGAUAUGCCGUUGUGACUUGAUAUUCAUCAAAUCAAGAACUUUAAGAGCAUGGCCACAUAAUAUUCCAAUUCUAUCAAACAUCCAGCAACUGCACUCAAUUGUUUGCUUGCUCACGUUUUUCCUCCUAAGGUCAGACUUCUGUUCAAAAUCGGCAAUGUCUUUGUACUCAAACAUGCACGCACUAAAAUCUGACAGAAUACGUGUUUCUUCAUUCUCCUAUAUUUUCUUCUCUUCAUUCUUCUCUCUUUUCUUCUCUUUUUUCUUUUCUUCAUUUUCCUCUUCACCCUUCUAUUCAUGUAAAUGUUUGACAACAUUUUGCAUAAUGUGAAAGGUGCGUAAUCCAUGUCAUGCUUCUGCAAACACUUCCCCAAUGACCUUUCCCAUUGCAACAUCUUGAUCUAUAUAGAAUGGUUUAGGCCCCUUUCCUUUGUGAGAUAUUAGAAAGGCCUAAAACGACCACUUGAAGGACGCACAUGUUUCAUCAUACAUGAGAGCAUCAUCAAAAACUAUAGUUUCUCUAAAAUGAUUGAAACCGACAUAGACACUUGUUGGAUAUAUGUCCUAGAGGCAAUAAUAAAAUGAUUAUUAUUGUAUUUGCUUGUUCAUGAUAAUUGUCUAUUGUUCAUGCUAUAAUUGUAUUAACCGGAAGUCGUAAUACAUGUGUGAAUACAUAGACCAUAACACGUCCCUAGUAAGCCUCUAGUUGACUAGCUCGUUGAUCAAUAGAUGGUCAUGGUUUCCUGACCAUGGACAUUGGAUGUCAUUGAUAACAGGAUCACAUCAUUAGGAGAAUGAUGUGUUGGAAAUAUGCCCUAGAGGCAAUAAUAAAAGUGUUAUUAUUAUAUUUCCUUGUUCAUGAUAAUUGUCUUUUAUUCAUGCUAUAACUGUAUUAUCCGGAAAUCGUAAUACACGUGUGAAUACAUAGACCACAAUAUGUCCCUAGUGAGCCUCUAGUUGACUAGCUCGUUGUGAUCAACAGAUAGUCAUGAUUUCCUGGCUAUGGACAUUGGAUGUCGUUGAUAACGGGAUCACAUCAUUAGGAGAAUGAUGUGAUGGACAAGACCCAAUCCUGAGCAUAGCACAAAGAUCGUGUAGUUCGUUUGCUAGAGCUUUGCCAAUGUUAAGUAUCUCUUCCUUUGACCAUGAGAGCGUGUAACUCCUGGAUACCGUAGGAGUGCUUUGGGUGUAUCAAACGUCACAACGUAACUGGGUGACUAUAAAGGUGCACUACAGGUAUCUUCGAAAGUAUCUAUUGUUUUAUGCGGAUCGAGACUGGGAUUUGUCACUCCGUGUAAACGGAGAGGUAUCUCUGGGCCCACUCGGUAGGACAUCAUCAUAUGCGCAAUGUGACCAAGGAGUUGAUCACGGGAUGAUGUGUUACGGAACGAGUAAAGUGACUUGCCGGUAACGAGAUUGAACAAGGUAUCGGAUACCGACGAUCGAAUCUCGGGCAAGUAACAUACCGAUAGACAAAGGGAAUUGAAUACGGGAUUGAUUAAGUCCUUCACAUCGUGGUUCAUCCGAUGAGAUCAUCGUGGAACAUGUGGGAGCCAUCAUGGGUAUCCAGAUCCCGCUGUUGGUUAUUGACCGGAGAACGUCUCGGUCAUGUCUGCAUGUCUCCCGAACCCGUAGGGUCUACACACUUAAGGUUCGAUGACGUUAGGGUUAUAAAGGAAGUUUGUAUGUGGUUACCGAAUGUUGUUCGGAGUCCCGGAUGAGAUCCCGGACGUCACGAGGAGUUCCGGAAUGGUCCGGAGGUAAAGAUUUAUAUAUGGGAAGUCCUAUUUUGGCCACCGGAAAAUGUUCGGGAUUUUUCGGUAUUGUACCGGGAAGGUUCUAGAAGGUUCCGGAGUGGGGCCCACCUGCAUGGGGGGACCCACAUGAACGUGGGUAGUGGGGGCAAGGCCCCACACCCCUGGUCAAGGCGCACCAAGAUCCCCCCUUAGAAGGAAUAAGAUCAUAUCCCGAAGGGAUAAGAUCAAGAUCCCUAAAAAGGGGGGAUAAUAAUCGGUGGGGAAGGAAAUGAUGGGAUUUCUUUCCUUCCACCUUGGCCAACGCCCCAAUGGACUUGGAGGGCAAGAAACCAGCCCCUCCACCCCUAUAUAUAGUGGGGAGACGCAUGGGAGCUUCAGACGAAGUUCUGGCGCAGCCCUCCCCCUCUCACAAGUACUCCUCCUCUCCCGCGGUGCUUGGCGAAGCCCUGCAGGAUUGCCACGCUCCUCCACCACCACCACGCCAUUGUGCUGCUGUUGGAUGGAGUCUUCCUCAACCUCUCCCUCUCUCCUUGCUGGAUCAAGGCGUGGGAGACGUCACCGGGCUGUAUGUGUGUUGAACGCGGAGGUGCCGUGCGUUCGGCACUUGAUCAUCGGUGAUUUGAAUCACGACGAGUACGAAUCCAUCAACCCCGUUCACUUGAACGCUUCCGCUUAGCGAUCUACAAGGGUAUGUAGAUGCACUCUCCUUCUACUCGUAGCUGGUUUCUCCAUAGAUAGAUCUUGGUGACACGUAGGAAAUUUUUUGAAUUUCUGCUACGUUCCCCAACAGUGGCAUCAUGAGCUAGGUCUAUUGCGUAGAUUCUUUGCACGAGUAGAACACAAAGUAGUUGUGGGCGUUGAUGUUGUUCAAUAUGCUUACCGUUACUAGUCCAAUCUUGUUUCGACGGUAUUGUGGGAUGAAGCGGCCCGGACCGACCUUACACGUACUCUUACGUGAGACAGGUUCCACCGAUUGACAUGCACUUGGUGCAUAAGGUGGCUAGCGGGUGCCAGUCUCUCCCACUUUAGUCGGAACGGAUCCGAUGAAAAGGGUCCUUAUGAAGGGUAAAUAGCAAUUGGCAUAUCACGUUGUGGUUUUGCGUAGGUAAGAAACGUUCUUGCUAGAAACCCAUAGCAGCCACGUAAAACAUGCAAACAACAAUUAGAGGACGUCUAACUUGUUUUUGCAGGGUAUGCUAUGUGAUGUGAUAUGGCCAAAAGGAUGUGAUGAAUGAUAUAUGUGAUGUAUGAGAUUGAUCAUGUUCUUGUAAUAGGAUUCACGACUUGCAUGUCGAUGAGUAUGACAACCGGCAGGAGCCAUAUGAAUUGUCUUUAUUUAUUGUAUGACCUGCGUGUCAUUGAAGAACGCCAUGUAAACUACUUUACUUUAUUGCUAAACGCGUUAGUCAUAGAAGUAGAAGUAGUCGUUGGCGUGACAACUUCAUGAAGACACGAUGAUGGAGAUCAUGAUGAUGAAGAUCAUGGUGUCAUGCCGGUGACAAGAUGAUCAUGGAGCCCCGAAGAUGAAGAUCAAAGGAGCUAUAUGAUAUUGGCCAUAUCAUGUCACUACUCUAUUUGAUUGCAUGUGAUGUUUAUCAUGUUUAUGCAUCUUGUUUGCUUAGAACGACGGUAGUAAAUAAGAUGAUCCCUUACAACAAUUUCAAGAAGUGUUCUCCCCUAACUGUGCACCGUUGCUACAGUUCGUCGCUUCUAAGCACCACGUGAUGAUCGGGUGUGAUGGAUUCUUACGUUCACAUAAAACGGGUGUAAGACAGUUUUACACAGCGAAAACACUUAGGGUUAACUUGACGAGCCUAGCAUGUACAUACAUGGCCUCGGAACACGGAGACCGAAAGGUCGAGCAUGAGUCGUAUAGUAGAUACGAUCAACAUGAAGAUGUUCACCGAUGAUGACUAGUCCGUCUCACGUGAUGAUCGGACACGGCCUAGUUGACUCGGAUCAUGUAAUCACUUAGAUGACCAGAGGGAUGUCUAUCUGAGUGGGAGUUCAUAAGAUGAACUUAAUUAUCCCGAACAUAGUCAAAAGACCUUUUGCAAAUUAUGUCGUAGCUCGCGCUUUAGUUCUACUGUUUUAGAUAUGUUCCUAGAGAAAAUAUAGUUGAAAGUUGAUAGUAGCGAUUAUGCGAACAGUAGAAAGCUUAUGUCCUUAAUGCACUGCUCAGUGUGCUGAACCCCAAACGUCGUUUGUGGAUGUUUCGAACAUCGAACAUACACGUUUUGAUAACUACGUGAUAGUUCAGUUAAAUGGUUUAAGUAGAGGCACCAAAGACAUUUUCGAAACAUCGCGGAACAUAUGAGAUGUUUCGAGGGCUGAAAUUGGGAUUUCAGGCUCGUGCUCACGUCAAGAGGUAUAAGACCUCCGACGAUUCUCUUAGCCUGCAAACUAAGGGAGAAAAUCUCAAUCGUUGAGCUUGUGCUUAGAUUGUCUGAGUGCAACAAUCACUUGAAUUGAGUGGGAGUUGAUCUUCCAAAUGAGAUAGUGAUGUUUCUCCAAAGUCAUUGCCACCGAGCUGCUAGAGCUUCGUGAUGAACAAUAAAAUAUCAGGGAUAAAUAAGAUGAUCCUUGAGGUAUUCACGAUGUUUGACACCGCGAAAGUAGAAAUCAAGAAGGAGCAUCAAUUGUUGAUGGUUGGUGAAACCACUAGUUUCAAGAAGGGCAAGGGCAAGAAGGGAUACUUCAUGAAACGGCAAAUCAGCUGCUGCUCCAGUGAAGAAACCCAAGGUUGAACCCAAACCCGAGACUAAGUGCUUCUGUAAUAAGGGGAACAGUCACUAGAGCAGAAUUACCCUAGAUACUUGGUAGAUGAGAAGGCUGGCAAGGUCGAUAGAAGUAUAUUGGAUAUACAUUAUGUUAAUGUGUACUUUACUAGUACUCCUAGUAGCACCAGGGUAUAAGAUACCGGUUCGGUUGCUAAGUGUUAGUAACUCGAAAUAAAAGCUACGGCAUAAACGGAGACUAGCUAAAGGUGAGCUGACGAUAUGUGUUGGAAGUGUUUCCAAUGUUGAUAUGAUCAAGCAUCGCACGCUCCCUCUACCAUCGAGAUUUGGUGUUUGCGUUGAGCAUAGACAUGAUUGGAUUAUGUCUAUCGCAAUACGGUUAUUCAUUUAAAGAGAAUAAUGGUUAUUCUAUUUAUUUGAAUAAUACCUUCAAUGGUCUUGCACCUAAAAUGAAUGGUUCAUUGAAAUCUCGAUUGUAGUGAUACACAUGUUCAUGCCAAAAGAUAGUAAUGAUAGUACCACCUAUUUGUGGCACUGCCACGUAAGUCAUAUCGGUAUAAAAUGCAUGAAGAAGCUCCAUGUUGAUGGAUCUUUGGACUCACUCAAUUUUGAAAAGUUUGAGACAUGCGAACCAUGUCUAUUGGUAUAUAUGCAUGAAGAAACUCCAUGCAAAUGGACCGUUUGAACUCACUUGAUUUUGAAUCACUUGAGAUAUGCAAAUCAUACCACAUGGGCAAGAUGACUGAAAAGCCUCGGUUUCAGUAAGAUGGAACAAGAUAGCAACUUGUUGGAAGUAACACAUUUUGAUGUGUGUAGUCCAAUGAGUGCUGAGGCAUGCAGUGAAUAUCAUUAUGUUCUUACUUCACAGAUGAUUCGAGUAGAUGUUGAAUAUAUUUACUUGAUGAAACACAAGUCUGAAUUAUUGAAUGGUUCAAGUAAUUUCAGAGUAAAGUUGAAGAUCAUCGUGACAAGAGGAUAAAAUGUCUAUGAUAAGAUCAUAGAGAUGAGUAUCUGAGUUACGAGUUUUGGCACACAAUUAAGACAUUGUGGAAAUUGUUUCACAAUUAAUACCGCCUGGAACACCAUAGUGUGAUGGUGUGUCCGAACAUCAUAACUGCACCCUAUUGGAUAUGAUGCAUACCAUGAUGUCUCUUAUCGAAUUACCACUAUCGUUCAUGGGUUAGGCAUUAGAGACAACCACAUUCACUUUAAAUAGGGCACCACGUAAUUCCGUUGAGAUGACACCGUAUGAAUUAUGGUUUAGAGAAACCUAAGUUGUCGUUUCUUAAAAGUUUGGGGCUGCGACGCUUAUAUGAAAAAAGUUUCAGGUUGAUAAGCUCGAACCCAAAGCGGAUAAAAUGCAUCUUCAUAGGAAAACCAAAACAGUUGGGUAUACCUCCUAAUUCAGAUCCGAAAGCAAUAUGGAUUGUUUCUUGAAUCGGGUCCUUUCUCGAGGAAAAGUUUCUCUCGAAAGAAUUGAGUGGGAGGAUGGUGGAAACUUGAUGAGGUUAUUGAACCGUCUCUUCAACUAGUGUGUGGCAGGGCACAGGAAGUUGUUCCUGUGGCACCUACACCAAUUGAAGUGGAAGCUUAUGAUAUUGAUCAUGAAACUUCGGAUCAAGUCACUACCAAACCUCGUGGGAUGACAAGGAUGCGUACUACUUCAGAGUGGUACAUAAUCCUGUCUUGAAGGUCAUGUUGCUAGACAACAAUGAACCUACGAGCUAUGGAGAAGCGAUGGUGGGCCCGAAUUCCGACAAUUGGUUAGAAGCCAUGAAAUCCGAGAUAGUAUCCAUAUAUCAGAACAAAGCAUGGACUUUGAUGGACUUGCCCGAUGAUCGGCAAUCCAUUGAGAUAAAUGGAUCUUUUAAGAAGAAGACGGACGUGGAUGGUAAUGUCACCAUCUAUGAAGCUUGACUUGUGGCAAAGUGUUUUCCGACAAGUUCAAGGAGUUGACUACGAUGAGAUUUUCUCACUCGUAGCGAUGCUUAAAGUCCGUCGGAAUCAUGUUAGCAUUAGCUGCAUUUAUGAAAUCUGGCAGAUGGAUGUCAAGACAAGUUUCCUUACCAGUUUUCGUAAGGAAAGGUUGUAUGCAAUACAAUCAGAAAAGUUUUGUCGAUCCUAAGGAUGCUAAAAGGUAUGCUAGCUCCAGCGAUCCUUCUAAGGACUGGAGUAAGCAUCUCGGAGUUGGAAUGUACGCUUUGAUGAGAUGAUCAAAGAUUUUGGAUUUAUACAAAGUUUAUGAGAAACUUGUAUUUCCAAAGAAGUGAGUGGGAGCACUAUAGAAUUUCUGAUGAGUAUAUGUUGUUGACAUAUUGAUGAUCAGAGAUGAUGUAGAAUUUCUAGAAAGCAUAUAGGGUUAUUUGAAAGGUGUUUUUCAAUAGAAAACCUAGAUUAAGCUACUUGAACAUUGAGCAUCAAGAUCUAUAAGGAUAGAUCAAAAUGCUUAAUAAUACUUUCAAAUGAGCACAUACCUUGACAUGAUCUUGAAGGUGUUCAAGAUGGAUCAGUCAAAGAAGAAGUUCUUGCCUGAGUUGUAAGGUGCGAAGUUAAGACUUAAAUCUCGACCUCGGCAGAAAAGAGAGAAAGGACGAAGGUCGUCCCCUAUGCUUAAGACAUAGGCUCUACAGUAUGCUAUGUUGUGUACCGCACCUGACGUGUGCCUUGCCAUGAGUCAGUCAAGGGGUACAAGAGUGAUCCAAAAAUGGAUCAUAGGACAGCGGUCAAAGUUAUCCUUAGUAACUAGCGGACUAAGGAAUUUUUCUCGGUUAUGGAGGUGGUAAAAGAGUUCGUCGUAAAGGGUUACGUCGAUACAAGCUAAACACCUAUCCGGAUAGCUCUGAGUAGAGAGACCGGAUACAUAUAAUGAAGCAACAAUUUAGAAUAACUCCAAGUAGAACAGUUAUUUGGAAUAGCUCCAAAUAGAGCGUGGUAGUUGCAUCUAGGAGAUGACAUAGAGAUUUGUAAAGCACACACGGAUCUGAAAGGUUCAGACCCGUUGACUAAAACCUCUCUCACAAGCAACAUGAUCAAACAUAAAACUCAUUGAGUGUUAAUCACAUAGUGAUGUGAACUAGACUACUGACUCUAGUAAACUCUUGGGUAUUAGUCACAUGGCGAUGUGACCUGUGAGUGUUAAUCACAUGGCGAUGUAAACUAGAUUAUUGACUCUAGUGCAAGUGGGAGACUGUUGGAAAUAUGCCCUAGAGGCAAUAAUAAAAGUGUUAUUAUUAUAUUUCCUUGUUCAUGAUAAUUGUCUUUUAUUCAUGCUAUAACUGUAUUAUCCGGAAAUCGUAAUACACGUGUGAAUACAUAGACCACAAUAUGUCCCUAGUGAGCCUCUAGUUGACUAGCUCGUUGUGAUCAACAGAUAGUCAUGAUUUCCUGGCUAUGGACAUUGGAUGUCGUUGAUAACGGGAUCACAUCAUUAGGAGAAUGAUGUGAUGGACAAGACCCAAUCCUGAGCAUAGCACAAAGAUCGUGUAGUUCGUUUGCUAGAGCUUUGCCAAUGUUAAGUAUCUCUUCCUUUGACCAUGAGAGUGUGUAACUCCUGGAUACCGUAGGAGUGCUUUGGGUGUAUCAAACGUCACAACGUAACUGGGUGACUAUAAAGGUGCACUACAGGUAUCUCCGAAAGUAUCUAUUGUUUUAUGCGGAUCGAGACUGGGAUUUGUCACUCCGUGUAAACGGAGAGGUAUCUCUGGGCCCACUCGGUAGGACAUCAUCAUAUGCGCAAUGUGACCAAGGAGUUGAUCACGGGAUGAUGUGUUACGGAACGAGUAAAGUGACUUGCCGGUAACGAGAUUGAACAAGGUAUCGGAUACCGACGAUCGAAUCUCAGGCAAGUAACAUACCGAUAGACAAAGGGAAUUGAAUACGGGAUUGAUUAAGUCCUUGACAUCGUGGUUCAUCCGAUGAGAUCAUCAUGGAACAUGUGGGAGCCAUCAUGGGUAUCCAGAUCCCGCUGUUGGUUAUUGACCGGAGAACGUCUCGGUCAUGUCUGCAUGUCUCCCGAACCCGUAGGGUCUACACACUUAAGGUUCGAUGACGCUAGGGUUAUAAAGGAAGUUUGUAUGUGGUUACCGAAUGUUGUUCGGAAUACCGGAUGAGAUCCCGGACGUCACGAGGAGUUCCGGAAUGGUCCGGAGGUAAAGAUUUAUAUAUGGGAAGUCCUAUUUUGGCCACCGGAAAAUGUUCGGGAUUUUUCGGUAUUGUACCGGGAAGGUUCUAGAAGGUUCCGGAGUGGGGCCCACCUGCAUGGGGGGACCCACAUGAACGUGGGUAGUGGGGGCAAGGCCCCACACCCCUGGUCAAGGCGCACCAAGAUCCCCCCUUAGAAGGAAUAAGAUCAUAUCCCGAAGGGAUAAGAUCAAGAUCCCUAAAAAGGAGGGAUAACAAUCGGCGGGGAAGGAAAUGAUGGGAUUUCUUUCCUCCCACCUUGGCCAACGCCCCAAUGGACUUGGCGUGCAAGAAACCAGCCCCUCCACCUCUAUAUAUAGUGGGGAGACGCAUGGGAGCUUCAGACGAAGUUCUGGCGCAGCCCUCCCCCUGUCACAAGUACUCCUCUCCCGCGGUGCUUGGCGAAGCCCUGCAGGAUUGCCACGCUCCUCCACCACCACCACGCCGUUGUGCUGCUGUUGGAUGGAGUCUUCAUCAACCUCUCCCUCUCUCCUUGCUGGAUCAAGGCGUGGGAGACGUCACCGGGCUGUACAUGUGUUGAACGCGGAGGUGCCGUGCGUUCGGCACUUGAUCAUCGGUGAUUUGAAUCACGACGAGUACGACUCCAUCAACCCCGUUCACUUGAACGCUUCCGCUUAGCGAUCUACAAGGGUAUGUAGAUGCACUCUCCUUCUACUCGUAGCUGGUUUCUCCAUAGAUAGAUCUUGGUGACACGUAGGAAAUUUUUUGAAUUUCUGCUACGUUCCCCAACAUGAUGUGAUGGACAAGACCCAAUCCUAAGCAUAACGCAAGAUCGUGUAGUUCGUCUGCUAAAGCUUUUCUAAUGUCAAGUAUCUUUUCCUUAGACCAUGAGAUUGUGCAAUUCCCGGAUACUGUAGGAAUACUUUGGGUAUGUCAAACGUCACAACGUAACUGGGUGACUAUAGAGGUGCACUACGGGUAUCUCCGAAACUGUCUGUUGGGUUGACACGAAUCGAGACUGAGAUUUGUCACUCCGUAUGACGGAGAGGUAUCUCUGGGCCCACUCGGUAAGACAUCAUCGUAAUGAGCUCAAUGUGACUAAGGGUUAGUCACGGGAUGAUGUGUUACGGAACGAGUAAAGUGACUUGCCGGUAACCAGAUUGAACGAGGUAUUGGGAUACCGAUGAUCGAAUCUCGGGCAAGUAACGUACCGAUUGACAAAGGGAAUUGUAUACGGGAUUGCUUGAAUCCUCGACAUCGUGGUUCAUCCGAUGAGAUCAUCGUGGAACAUGUGUGAGCCAACAUGGGUAUCCAGAUCCCACUGUUGGUUAUUGGCUGAAGAGUUGUCUCGGUCAUAUUUGUAUGGUUCCCGAACCCGUAGGGUCUACACACUUAAGGUUCGAUGACGCUAGGGUUAUUAGAAAGACUUGUAUGUGAUUACUGAAUGUUGUUCGGAGUCCCAGAUGAGAUCCUGAACGUCACAAGGAGUUCCGGAAUGGUCCGGAGGUGAAGAUUUAUAUGUGGGAAGUUGUCAUACGGUCAUCGGAAAGGUUCGGGGGCAUAUCGGUAUUGUACCGGGGCCACCGGAGGGGUUCUGGGGGUCCACCGGGAGGGGUCACCUCUCUCGGAGGGCCUUAUGGGCUGUAAGGGGAAGGGAACCAGCCCCAAGUGGGCUGGGGCGCCAACCCCCCAAGGGCCCAUGCGCCUAGGGUUGGGGGAACCCUAAAGGGGGCGCCCCCCUUGGCUUGAGGGGCAAGCCCCCCCCCCUUGGCCGCCGCCCCCCUCCCUCUAGAUCUCAUCUAGAGGGGGCCGCCCCCUUUCCCUCUCCCUUAUAAAUAGAGGGGCAAAGGGAGGGCUGCACCACCACAUCAUCCAAGGCGCAGCCCCUCCUCUCCUCCUCCGCGUGAGCUUGGCGAAACCCUGCCGAAGAACUAUCACUCCAUCACUACCACGCCGUCGUGCUGCUGUUGGAGCUCUCUUCCUCAACCUCUCGCUCCUCCUUGCUGGAUGAAGAUGCAGGAGACGUCUCCGUUCCGUAUGUGUAUUGAACGCGGAGGUGCCGUCCGUUCGGUGCUAGGAUCAUCGGUGAUUUGGAUCACGACGAGUACGACUCCAUCAACCCCGUUCUCUUGAACGCUUCCGCUUAGCGAUCUUCAAGGUUAUGAAUAUGCACUCCCUCUCCCUCGUUGCUAGUAUCUCCUAGAUUGAUCUUGGUGACACGUAGGAAAAUUUUGAAUUAUUGCUACGUUCCCCAACAGUGGCAUCAUGAGCUAGGUCUAUGCGUAGAUUCUAUGCACGAGUAGAACACAAAGCAGUUGUGGGCGAUGAUUUGUUCAAUUUGCUUACCGUUACUAGUCUUAUCUUGAUCCGGCGGCAUUGUGGGAUGAAGCGGCCCGGACCAACCUUACACGCACGCUUACGUGAGACUGGUUCCACCGACUGACAUGCACUUGAUACAUAAGGUGGCUGGCGGGUGUCUGUCUCUCCCACUUUAGUCGGAUCGGAUUCGAUGAAAAUGGUCCUUAUGAAGGGUAAAUAGCAAUUGGCAUAUCACCGUUGUGGUUUUGCGUAGGUAAGAAACGUUUUUGCUAGAAACCCAUAGCAGUCACGUAAAACAUGCAACAACAAUUAGAGGACGUCUAACUUGUUUUUGCAGGGUUUGCUUUGUGAUGUGAUAUGGCCAAAAGGAUGUGAUGAAUGAUAUAUGUGAUGUAUGAGAUUGAUCAUGUUCUUGUAAUAGGAAUCACGACUUGCAUGUCGAUGAGUAUGACAACCGGCAGGAGCCAUAGGAGUUGUCUUAAUUUAUUUAUGACCCGCGUGUCAAUGAAAAUGCCAUGUAAUUACUUUACUUUAUUGCUAACCGUUAGCCAUAGUAGUAGAAGUAAUAGUUGGCGAGACAACUUCAUGAAGACACGAUGAUGGAAAUCAUGAUGAUGGAGAUCAUGGUGUCAUGCUGGUGACGAUGGUGUUCAUGCCGCGCCUCGAAGAUGGAGAUGAAAGGCGCAAGAUGAUAUUGGCUAUAUCAUGUCACUUUAUGAUUUGCAUGUGAUGUUUGUCAUGUUUUUACAUCUUAUUUGCUUAGAACGACGGUAGCAUAAAAAAGAUGAUCCCUCAUUAAAAUAUCAAGAAUUGUUGUAACACCUUCGAUGCGACUAUAUCUCCCACGUGUCGAGGCACAACUUAGAGGCAUAAUCGUAUUGAAGGCAUACGUCGCAAGUUAGACAAUCUUCACAACAUCCCAUGUAAUAUAAAUCAUAAAGGGGAGAUAACAUAGUUGGCUUACACUCGCCACAUCAAUCAAGUACAUAAAUAACAUUACAUCAACCAAACACUCAUGGCCCGACUACGGCGCCAAAAUAAAAGAGAACCCAACAUGCGACACAGUCCCAAUCACCCCCAAUUGGGCACCACUACUGAUCAUCAGGAAAGGAAACAUAGUAACGUUGAGAGUCCUCGUCGAACUCCCACUUGAGCUCAAGCGCGUCUCCUGAAGCGGAAUCAUCAGGCCCUGCAUCUGGUGUAAUAGUAAUCUAUGAGCCACAGGGACUCAGCAAUCUCGCACCCUCGCGAUCAAGACUAUUUAAGCUUAUAGGUAUGGCAAGGUAAAUAUGUGGAGCUGCAGCAAGCGACUAGCAAAAUAUGGUGGCUAACUUAUUCGCAAAAGAGAGAGAGAAGAGGAGGCCAAGCGCGAGCGAGAAACUAGAGAACAACCUGCGCAAACAUUACUCCAACACUGUGUCCACUUCCCGGACUCUACCGAGAAGAGGCCAUCACGGUAACACACUCAGUUGAUUCAUUUUAAUUAAGUUAAGGUUAAAGUGAUCUACAACCGGACAUUAACAAAUUCCCAUCUGCCCAUAACCGCGGGCACGGCUUUCGAAAGUUCAAAUCCCUGCAGGGGAGUCCCAACUUAGCCCAUGACAAGCUCUCACGGUCAACGAAGGAAUAGACCUCCUCCCAAGACGUUCCGAUCAGACUCGGUAUCUCGGUUCUUCAAGACAACUCCGGCAAUGGUAAAACAAGUCCAGCAAGACCGCCCGCUGUGCCGACAAAUCCCGAUAGGAACUGCACAUAUCUCGUUCUCAGGGCACACCGGAUAAGCUAAGCAUACGGGAACCAACGUAACCCAAGUUGCCAAGGGACGGCCCCGCACGGUGCUCUAGGUUGGACCAACACUCAAAGGAGCACUGGCCCGGGGGGUUUAAAAUAAGAUGACCCUUGAGUUCGUGAAACCCAAGGGAAAAGGCUAGGUGGCAAAUGGUAAAACCAAUGUUGGGCAUUGCUGGAGGAGUUUUAUUCAAGGCGGACUGUCAAGGGGUUCCCAUUAUAACCCAACCGCGUAAGGAACGCAAAAUCCGGGAACAUAACACCGAUAUGACGGAAACUAGGGCGGCAAGAGUGGAACAAAACACUAGGAGAGAGGCCGAGCCUUCCACUCUUUAUCAAGUAUAUAGAUGCAUUAAGAUAACAAGAUAAUAUAAUGAUAUCCCAACAAGUAAAUAAAUGUUUCAACAAGGAACGGCCUCCGAUCUUCACCUGCAACUAGCAACGCUAUAAGAGGGGCUGAGCAAAGCGGUAACAUAGCCAAUCAACGGUUUGCUAGGACAUGGUGGGUUAGAGGUUUGACAUGUUAAUUUGGGAGGCUUGAAAGCAAGUGGUAGGCAUCGUAGCAUUGGCAUAGCAAAAGAGCGAGCAAACUAGCAUAGCAAAGAUAGUAGUGAUUUCGAGGGUAUGAUCAUCUUGCCUGCACAGUUGUCAGAGUUGACUGGAUCCUCUAAAGCAAACUCAACGGGCUCCUCGUUAGCGAACUCGUCUCCCGGCUCUAGCCAAACAAGACAAACAAACAACAAGGGCACAAUCAACCACGUGCAAGGAUCAAACAAGAUGAUGCAAAGAUGAUAUGCUAUGCGGGAUGCAUAUGCAAGAUAUGACAGGAAAUGCAAGAACCUGGCCUCAACUUGAAAAUCCAAGUGUGCCACUGGAAAGAUGAGACGAAUUCGCUUGAAAACGAUUUAAAGAACGCCGGAAUCGGAGUUACGGUUUGGAAAUGGCAAGCGAUUCAAAUAUGACACCGGUCUGCGAUUUACAGCAAGUAGCCAUCUAAAUGCAAUGAGAUGAACAUGCUACAACACCCAAACAUGGCAAAAAAAUACAUGGCAGGGAUGCAUUCAAGAUGCUUAACAAAAGUCUAGCACUAAGCUACGGCCAAUUCAUCCAUUAACAGGUUCAAACAAGCAUGACAAAAAUGCAUAUGACAAACAGAUCUCAGACUUAGUGAAAUCAACACUUGUCUGGAAUUUCAGAUCAGAUAGCACUCUUCAGAGCAACAAAACUACAUGCUACAGGACCUGAACAUGGCAAAAUAAAGCAUGGCAUGAAGCUACUCAAAGGGCUUAACAAAAGUCCCUUAGUGACCUUGAGCCAAAAGGGAUCAGAAAAUACAAUUGCAAGCAUGUGAACAUAGCAAAAAUAUAAUCAGUUUUCAGACUUAGUGAAAACUGGAGCAUGCUGAAAACAGAUAUCAAGUAGGCAUGUUUAUGAGCUCGAUGCACUCAAUACAGAGCAAGUCAUGACAAACUAAGCCUACAUCCAUCAAGAAUACACAAAAUGCAAGCUAGACAUGGCAAGAACAAUAACAUAGCAUGCACGGAUCAACUACAACAUCAUCGGUAAAAUUGCAAACAAGUUGACAAUCUGCCCCGAUUCACAAAGUAGCAAAAGUAGAGCUCGAUUAACUCAAGCUAUGGUGCUCCAUAAUUGCAAACAAAGGCAUGGAUGGAUAGAGAACUACAAGAUUAACAAAACAUCCUUACUGGUCAUCCUCAAAAGAGGCAUGGAUCACUAGGAAACAACAUGAACAUAUGACAACAUGAGAUAAACAGAUCAAGGACUUAGUGGAAUUGCUAAGUCCCUGAAAUCAGAAUUAACAAGUGCACCACUUUGCAAGCUCGUGCUAGUCACCACACACAUCACAAAAAUACAUGGGUUGCACCUCUGGAAAUGUGACAAAACCCUUACCAAAACAUAUGUAGAGCAUCAGGGCAUAUCAUGCACACAUUGAUCAUGGCAAAAAUGACAAAUAUCUAAACGGAGUAGCAGAUCUGACAGUUAUCUCAAGUAGCCCUCUUCUAACAGAAUUUCGGGCAUCAAGAUGAACUCAAAUGAAAAUUAUGCAAUGGAAUGAAAUAAUGUACUCUCUGAGAUGAACAUUUUGAUAUGCUAUAUUCAUGAAUCGGAGUUACAGAUUCAAAGUUACGAGGCUAUGAAUAUUGCAAAAAAAAUAACUAGGACGGGCAAAAAGUCAACCGGCUAGGGUUUUCCAGAUCUGGAUCGGGCGGCACAGAAAACGAGGAUGGCCGGGGCACUGUUCACCGGCGCCGGAAUCGGUGGAGCUUGCCGGCGCGUCUUGGGAGAAGGAGGAGGCCGGAGCCGGGGAGGCGGCUACCGGAGCGGAUUCCGGCCGGCGCGGGUCGCCGGAGCGANNNNNNNNNNNNNNNNNNNNNNNNNNNNNNNNNNNNNNNNNNNNNNNNNNNNNNNNNNNNNNNNNNNNNNNNNNNNNNNNNNNNNNNNNNNNNNNNNNNNNNNNNNNNNNNNNNNNNNNNNNNNNNNNNNNNNNNNNNNNNNNNNNNNNNNNNNNNNNNNNNNNNNNNNNNNNNNNNNNNNNNNNNNNNNNNNNNNNNNNNNNNNNNNNNNNNNNNNNNNNNNNNNNNNNNNNNNNNNNNNNNNNNNNNNNNNNNNNNNNNNNNNNNNNNNNNNNNNNNNNNNNNNNNNNNNNNNNNNNNNNNNNNNNNNNNNNNNNNNNNNNNNNNNNNNNNNNNNNNNNNNNNNNNNNNNNNNNNNNNNNNNNNNNNNNNNNNNNNNNNNNNNNNNNNNNNNNNNNNNNNNNNNGGCGGCGGUUGGCGGCAGUGGGAUCCGGACGUUGUCCGGCUCCGUCCGGACACGUCCGGCGGCGGCGGAGACAGAUUUUUAGGGUUUCGGGGAGGGGGAUGCGAGAUUUUCGAGGAGGACCUAUUUAUAGGCCUAGAGGGAGCUAGGAAAGUCCAAAUGAGGUGCGGUUUUCAGCCACGCGAUCGUGAUCGAACGCUCUAGGUGAUGGAGAGGGUUAUGGUGGGUUUUGGGUCAAAUUGGAGGGGUGUUGGGCUGCAACACACACGAGGCCUUUUCGGUCCCUCGGUUAACCGUUGGAGUAUCAAACGAAGUCCAAAUGAUACGAAACUUGACAGGCGGUCUACCGGUAGUAAACCAAGGCCGCUUGGCAAGUCUCGGUACAAUCCGGAAAUGUUUAAUCCCCACACGCGAAAGAAAGGUAGAAUUGGCCACCGGAGGAGAAUGAAACGCCGAAAUGCAAAACGGACAACGGGGAAAAUGCUCGAAUGCAUGAGACAAGCACGUAUGCAAAUGCAAUGCACAUGAUGACAUGAUAUGAGAUGCAUGCCAACGACAACAACACAUGGAGACAAAGACCCGAACCCGAGAAAAUAAAAUAACUUAACGCCGGAAACGGCAAGAGUUGGAGUACAAAUUGGGAAAGUUAUAUCCGGGGUGUUACAAUUGUGUUCCUCCUAACUGUGCACUGUUGCUAAGGUCCGUUGUUUCGAAGCACCACGUGAUAAUUGGGUGUGAUAGGUUCUAACGUUUGCAUACAACGGGUGUAAGCCAGAUUUGCACACGCAAUACACUUAGGUUAACUUGACGAGUCUAGCAUGUACAGACAUGGCCUCGGAACACGGAAGACCGAAAGAUCGAACAUGAGUCGUAUAGUGGAUACGAUCAACAUGAAGAUGUUUACCGAUGAUGACUAGUCCGUCUCACAUGAUGAUCGGACACGGCCUAGUUGACUUGGAUCAUGUAUCACUUAGAAGACUAGAGGGAUGUCUAUCUAAGUGGGAGUUCAUUGAAUAAUUUGAUUAGAUGAACUUAAUUAUCAUGAACAUAGUCAAAAGGUCUUUGCAAAUUAUGUCGUAGCUCACGCUUUGGUUCUACUAUUUUAGAUAUGUUCCUAAAGAAAAUUUAGUUGAGAGUUGGCAGUAGCAAUUAUGCGGACUGUGUCCGUAAACUGAGGAUUGUCCUCAUUGCUGCAUACACUACUAGGAAAAGGGCUAUAGAUAGGAUUGCCACUAAUGGCGCACCAGGGAGGCAGUGCGCCACUACUAUAUACUAAUGACUCACCAGUUGGUGAUGCGCCAUUAGUGUGGAAGACACUAAUGGCGCACCAGAAAACAGAUGCGCCACUAGUGAUAAUUUUUUUUUCAUUUUUACAUACAUACUAAUGGCGCAUCCUACCGAAGUGCGCCAUUACUAGUUCUAACUAGUAAUGGCGCACCAGACAGGGAGUGCGCCAGUACUGAAUUUUUUUUAUUCUUUUUUUUUGCAAAACUACUAAUGGCGCACCGCCUCACAGUGCGCCAUUACUAGUUUAAAGUACUAAUGGCGCACCCUGUAGAACUGCACUAUUAGUAUAUAUUUUGAUAUCAUGAAUAUUUUUAAAUAUCAUGGGCACUUUUUGAUAUCAUGAAUAUUUUUAAAUUUCAUAGGCAUUUUUUGAAUUCAUGAGUAUUUUUUCAAAUUUGAUGAUAUUUUUUCAUAUUCAAUAUGAUAAAAUAUUGAAUAUUUGUGAGGACACUCGAUCUCGAUCCCCCUCCAUCUCGAUCUCGAUUCCCCCUCCAUCUCGAUCUCGAUCCCACCCGCGCCUCCUCUCCCCUCUUCAUUUUUUAAAAAAUAAUAAUAAAAAAGUGUAGACUACAAUUGUUGUUAAACAACAAUUAUUACUUUUUUUUAUAAAAAAAUAUUACUGUUUCAUAUUCAUAUUCAUUUUCUAAAAAAAUAUUACAUGCAAUAAAAAAAAUUACUUAUGGCGCACCUCUGGCUGGUGCGCCAUUGCUAUAUAUAAAAAAAGAUUACUAAUGGCGCACCUCUGCCUGGUGCGCCAUUGCUAUGUAAAAAAAGAUUACUAAUGGCGCACCUCUGCCCGGUGCGCCAUUGAUAUGUAAAAAAAGAUUACUAAUGGCGCACCGAUCGCUGGUGCGCCAUUAGUAAGAUUCCCCCUAGCUAAUUCCCUCCCUCUCGCCAGAUCCCCUUCAUCCCUCUCCCUCGCCCCCUAGCUAAUUCCCCCCGCUGCCCCNNNNNNNNNNNNNNNNNNNNNNNNNNNNNNNNNNNNNNNNNNNNNNNNNNNNNNNNNNNNNNNNNNNNNNNNNNNNNNNNNNNNNNNNNNNNNNNNNNNNNNNNNNNNNNNNNNNNNNNNNNNNNNNNNNNNNNNNNNNNNNNNNNNNNNNNNNNNNNNNNNNNNNNNNNNNNNNNNNNNNNNNNNNNNNNNNNNNNNNNNNNNNNNNNNNNNNNNNNNNNNNNNNNNNNNNNNNNNNNNNNNNNNNNNNNNNNNNNNNNNNNNNNNNNNNNNNNNNNNNNNNNNNNNNNNNNNNNNNNNNNNNNNNNNNNNNNNNNNNNNNNNNNNNNNNNNNNNNNNNNNNNNNNNNNNNNNNNNNNNNNNNNNNNNNNNNNNNNNNNNNNNNNNNNNNNNNNNNNNNNNNNNNNNNNNNNNNNNNNNNNNNNNNNNNNNNNNNNNNNNNNNNNNNNNNNNNNNNNNNNNNNNNNNNNNNNNNNNNNNNNNNNNNNNNNNNNNNNNNNNNNNNNNNNNNNNNNNNNNNNNNNNNNNNNNNNNNNNNNNNNNNNNNNNNNNNNNNNNNNNNNNNNNNNNNNNNNNNNNNNNNNNNNNNNNNNNNNNNNNNNNNNNNNNNNNNNNNNNNNNNNNNNNNNNNNNNNNNNNNNNNNNNNNNNNNNNNNNNAAAAAACAAAUUUGAUGAUAUUAAAAAAACAAAUUUGAUGAUAUAUUUUGUUCUAGUCCUCAUGAAAAUAACAAAUUUGAUAAAAAACAAAUUAUUAGAUGCAACAAGAAAUAAGGAAAAAAAGAAGUUACUAAUGGCGCACCAGAGGAGGGUGCUCCAUUGCUAUCAGAAAAAAAAAGUUACUAAUGGCGCACCAGAGAAUGCUGCGCCAUUGCUAUGAGUGUUUUUAUGGCGCACCCCUCGAUGGUGCGCCAUUACUAACAUUCCCCCCUCUAUAGCUGGAUACCCGGCCCUUCGCCCGAUACCUCCUUCCCUCUCCCUCGCCAGAUCCCCUUCCAUCCCUCGCCACACCCGCUCCGGCUCCCCCGCGCCGCCGCCCCCACUCCCCCGCGCCGCCGCCCCCGUGCCCCCGACCCAGGAAGCACGUGGCCGCCGGCCUCCCCACGACCAACCGAGGCGCCCAGGAGGUCCGCCGUCGUCUUCCUCUUCGACUACGAGGACCUGGACGAGCUCGGACGCCCUCGAGCCACCCCUUCGACGCCGCCGCCGACCCCGACCCCUCCGGCGACUGGCCACGCCCGCCCAGGUACCUCUCCUCCUUCCUCCCUCUCCACCCUUCCUCCCCAUUCCCUCCCUCCCUAGUUCUUCUUGCUAUAUGGAUCAGAACAUAUGGAUCAUUACUAUUGCUAUAUGGAGCAUUACUAUUGUUCUUCUCUGAACCAUUACCAUUCCCUCCCUCCCUAGUUCUUCCUCCCCAUUAAUUUGCAGGAUCAGAACAAGUUUGUAAUAGGAUGCUCUACAAUGUUGAUUAGGUGCAUUACUAUUGCUAUAUGGAGCAGCAAUUUACUAUUGCUAUAUGCUCUAGUUUGUAUCAAUGUGAUUGUAGUUUUUCUUGUCAUCAAGUUUAGUUGAUGUUUAUUUAAAUAUAGCUUAUAUGAUCAGCCAAUCUAUGUAUGAUUGUGGCUUGAAGGUUCUGGAAGAACGUUUUUCCUUCAAAUUCUAUCUGGUGGCAUUGUCCUAGACUCCCUAGUUGUGUUGUUAAUUGUGCUUCUAUUAAAAGAAUUGGGAGUUACUCACUGUACUAGAACUCUGUAGGUUGAAUUUUGGUUAACUAAUACCGAUGUUAUGAGAAUGUAAGCACCUAUUAUUGCUACUGAUAUCAUUGGCUCAUUGCUGCCUUUGUGCAAUGCAGAACUGUUAAGAGUGAUUUGGAGGAUUCAAGAUUCUGUGAAGCUCUUUUGACAUUUAAAACUCAGAACUGAAGGUACUUAAUAAACUCAAAAGCAUUGAUGAUAACUCUUGUUGCCUAGAAACAGAGGUAGUUUACACAUUGCAUUGCUGGUGUUUGUUUAUGUUCAGAGUUUAAGCAUGUGUAGUGUAGUGUAGUGUAGUGUAGUGAGCUUGUUCUAGUGUAGUGAGGUCUGAACCAUUGCACGAUGUAGUGUAGUGUAGUGAGCUCUGAACCAUGUUUAGUGUUGAGUACUUCAAGUUUACUGAACCUAUUCAUUUUUGUGGACUUAGUGAACAUGAUAAGACAAGCCAGAUGCUCUAUUUUUAAUUAAUAGUAAUCCAUGAUCAGCAACAGUUUCUUUCACUAAUUUUCAGUUAACAGCAAUCCAUGAUUUUUUUCAGCUAAAACUAUUCAUGAUUUUUUGUUGGGUGACCUAUUAGAUCUGGAAUGGAAGCUCACAUAAGUUGAGCUGAUUUUUGUCCAUAUGAAAGCAGAGGACCAUAUGGUAUGUGGCCUUUUCAUCCAUAUGAAAGUAGAGGCACAUUGUGGUGCUAGUUUGCUGGGUUUUGUCUCCGACCAUCGUGUCGUGAUGAUUUUGCAGGUACCCCCAGAGGCCCUUGAGUUUGCCGGAUUGUCGAUUAACUUUCGUUCCGGAAAAUUCGGGUACUCCAUAUGUCUUAUUUUCAGCAAAGGUCAUGCUGAGAUUUUCCGUGAAUUUUAGCAUGACUUUGCUAAAAAUCGGACAUAUGGGGUACUUGCUACUAAUACAUGGGCCGAGGUAUCUUAGUACUUAAUUAAGUAGGAUCAACUGCCCCGCUAUUCUUGCUGCAUUAAACCAUAGGUGGCAAUAGAGCCAAGUGAUUAGGCCCAACUUAGAAUUCUCGUUAGCAUCGAUAAACCCUAGAUGAUAAACCCAACAUAGGUGGCAAUAGAGCCAAGUGAUUAGUGCCAAGUGAUUAGGCCCAACCUAGGGUGCCUCGACAUCGAUAAACCCUAAAUGAUGAAAACUUAACUUGGCUUCUAUAGGGUGCCUCGGUGUCGAUGAGAACCUAAAUGAUGUACGCUUAGGCUUUUAGGGUGCCUCGGCAUCGACAAAACCUAAAUGAUGAAAGCUUAGGCUUUUAGGGUGCCUCGACGUCGACAAACCCUAAAUGAUAAAACAUUGGCUUUUAGGGUGCCUCGGUGUCGAUAAGAACCUAAAUGAUGAAAGCUUAGGCUUUUAGGGUGCCUCGGCGUCGACAAACCCUAAAUGAUAAAAGCUUAGCUUUUAGGAUGCCUCGGUGUCGACAAACCCUAAAUGAUGUAGUUUUGAAUUAUGAACGUAGGAUAUGUCAUCAUCAUCAUCGGACGACGAAAGUCUCCCGGCGGAGUGCGACUGGUGCCACGACGAUCGAGGUCUGUGCGACAUGCCUCACCUGGACGAUGAUCGGCGCUUUAGCACUAAGCUCGAGGAGACCUUCGAUGUUGAAACGGUACACAACAACGACAAGUGUUAUUUUCAUAAUUAAGCAUGACUUCAACUAUUUCAACGUGUAAUUUUCAUCUUUUACAAUUCGAGUAUAGCUUAUCCCAUGCCAUGCAAGACGCUAUGUCUUGGAGAGGAUGGAUUUUGAAGACCAUGAAAUUUCUGAAACAAAGAAAAUUCACCUAAGGACUCAUCACGAUGUGGACUUUGAAGUAAAUCUAUAUAAUUCUGAGAGCGUAACCCAUUUUGGUUGCAAAAAUUGGGAAGCAUUUUGCAAGAUGUAUGGUUUUGAUGAGGGUAUGCUUAUCACCAUGGAUAUUGGUAAUCCUGACAUCAACCAAGACAAUAUGGACAUUUGGGUCCUUGUUGAUACGCCUCCAGUUCUACCGCUAUGUGAGUUUCUCAAACAUAGUUAUUAGCUAAUUUAUAUUGUUUAUUUCAAAAUAGUUGACAGCUUAUUUUUAUUGUUCAAAGAAUGUGCGGGAGAUGGUAGACAAAACCCACUACACCGAUGGCUCCGAAUUAACAACUUACAAGGAGAAAAAUCAUCUGGUCGGAUUUUGUACUGACAUUGAGAAUUACACUAUCCACAAUCAAACUCCUCAGCAUUAUGGUAAAUACGUGCCACUAGUGCAUGUGUUCAACUACGGUAACUACCAUGGAGAUACCCUGGUAAGAUUUUUACUAUUACGAUAUCCGUGCAUCUUUUGCAUACUUCUAAAACUAGUACAUCAUUGCUAACUAUGAAGUUAUUACUAUGUUUUUCAACAGAUAAUCCUAGAGAAUUGUGUGCCUCAUAUGAUGUAUCUGAAAGGUAGUGUUAAUGUUUUGAACAUACAGCCAGGUCGUCCUACGAAUCUCAACUGUCCAUACGAGAUUUCUAAAAGAAGUGGAGACAUGAAAAUCAAAGGAUGGAAAAAAUGUAUGGACAGUCGUAAGGAGCUUCUUGGAAGCAAAAGGAAGCGAAGCGCAAGAAUUGGAGACAGGAUGUUCUCCAUUCUCCAUAAUGGAGAGUCAGGGUCUAUAUUGUUUUAUGCUAUUUUAGCUUAAAUAGGGUAUUUAGGUCCUGCCUAAUACUGAUGAUCAUGUGCUAAGAACAAUUAAGUAGGGUUGGUUCGAUGACUAUCAAGAUGAUGAUCGUAUGAUUUGUUAUGAAUAACGAGUAGAAGUUGUAUGAUGAUGAUUAGUAGGACUUGUUAGGAUUAUUAUUACUUCCGACAAACUCGAUACUCGCGGUCUCGAGACUUGUAAUGUUUUAUCUUUGUUCGGUCUUUUGAAUUUGGAGACUAAUAUGAUGAAUUGUAUUCGGAGACUAAUCUUCUAUUGUAUUCGAUGAAUCUGCUGUUGCUGUGUGCUACUGUCUAUAUUCUGUCAAAUAAUAUAUUUUGUAACAUGUGCAAAAAUUAGAAAAGUAAAAAAAACCUAAUAUUCAUACUAAUGGCGCAUCACUACAGAGUGCGCCAUUAGAAUGCCAAGUAUACUAAUGGCGCAUCCAUCCGCAGUGCACCAUUAGUGUGCCAAAGCACAUGGUUAAAUAUGGCCCCUGGGAGGCACACUAAUGGCACAUGGUGUUAUAUACUAAUGGCGCACUGGAUGGUGCGCCAUUAGUAUACCAGAUACUAAUGGCGCACCAGUGGUGCGCCAUUAGUAAAAAUUACUAGUGGCGUGCUACUAAUGGCGCACCAGUGAUGCGCCAUUAGUAGGCAAAACUGGUGCGCCAUUAGUAGGCCUUUUCCUAAUAGUGACAGAAGGAUUAUAUCCUUAAUGCACCGGUCAGUGUGCUGAACCUCGAACGUCGCGUGUAGAUGUUGGGAAACAUCUGACAUACACGUUUUGAUGACUACGUGAUAGUUCAGUGCGUAAUGCUAAUGGUUUAGAAUUGAGGCACCAAAGACGUUUUUGAAACAUCGCAGAACAUAUGAGAUGUUCCAAAGAUUGAAAUUGGGAUUUCAGACUAGUGCUGACGUCAAGAGGUAUGAGACCUCUGACAAGUUUCUUAGGCCUGCAAACUAAGGGAGAAAAGCUCAAUCAUUGAGCAUGUGCUCAGAUUGUCUGAGUACUACAAUCACUUGAAUCGGGUGGGAGUUAAUCUUCCAGAUGAUAUAGUGAUGGUUCUCCAUAGUCACUGCCACCAAGCUAUUAGAGCUUCGUGAUGAACUAUAACAUAUCAUGGAUAGACAUGAUGAUCCUUGAGAAAUUCGCGAUGUUUGACACCGCGAAAGUAGAAAUCAAGUAGGAGCAUCAAUUGUUGAUGGUUAGUAAAACCACUAGUUUCAAGAAGGGCAAGGGAAAGAAGGGAUACUUCCUGAAACGGCAAAUCAGUUGCUGCUCUAGUGAAGAAACCCGGGGUUGAACCCAAACUUGAGACUAAGUGCUUCUGUAAUGAGGGGAACAGUCACUGAAGCAGAACCACCCUAGAUACUUGGUAGAUGAGAAGGAUGGCAAGGUCGACAGAAGUAUUUUGGAUAUACGUUAUAUUAAUGUGUAGUUUACUAGUACUCCUAGUAGCACUAGGGUAAUAAAUACCGGUUCGAUUGCUAAGUGUUAGUAACUCAAAAUAAAAUGCUACGGAGACUAGCUAAAGGUGAGAUGACGAUAUGUUGGAAGUGUUUCCAAGGUUGAUGUGAUCAAACAUCGCACGCUCCCUCUACCAUCGAGAUUGGUGUUAAACCUAAAUAAUUGUUAUUUGGAGUUUGUGUUGAGCAUAGACAUGAUUGGAUUAUGUUUAUCGCAAUACGGUUAUUCAUUUAAAGAGAAUAAUGGUUACUCUGUUUAUUUGAAUAAUACCUUCAAUGAUCUUGCACCUAAAAUGAAUGGUUUAUUGAAUCUCGAUCAUAGUGAUACACAUGUUCAUGCCAAAAGAUAUAAGAUAGUAAUGAUAGUACCACAUACUUGUGGCACUUCCAUUUGAGUCAUAUUGGUAUAGAACGCAUGAAGAAGCUCCAUGUUGAUGGAUCUUUGGACUCACUCGUUUUUGAAACGAUUGAGACAUGCGAACUAUGUCUAUUGGUAUAUAUGCAUGAAGAAAGUCCAUACAGAUGGAUCGUUUGGACUCACUUGAUUUUGAAUCACUUGAGACAUGCAUAUCAUACCACGUGGGCAAAAGAUGACUGAAAGGCCUCGUUUCGGUAAGAUGGAACAAGAAAGCAACUUGUUGGAAGUAAUACAUUUUGAUGUGUGCAGUCCAAUGAGUGAUGAGGCACGUAGUGGAUAUCGUUAUGUUCUUACUUCACAGAUAAUUUGAGUAGAUGCUGAGUGUAUUUACUUGACGAAACACAAGUCUGAAUUAUUGAAAGGUUCAAGUAAUUUCAGAGUGAAGUUGAAGAUCGUCGUGACAAGAGGAUAAAAGUCUAUGAUAUGAUCAUAGAGAUGAAUAUCUGAGUUACGAGUUUGGCACACAAUUAAGACAUUGUGGAAAUUGUUUCACAAAUAAUACCGCCUGGAACACCAUAGUGUGAUGGUGUGUCCGAACAUCAUAAUUGCACCCUAUUGGAUAUGGUGCAUACCGUGAUGUCUCUUAUUGAAUUACCACUAUCGUUUAUGGGUUAGGCAUUAGAGACAACCGCAUUCACUUUAAAUAGGGCACCACACAAUUCCGUUGAGACGACACCGUAUGAACUAUGGUUUAGCAAAACCUAAGUUGUCGUUUCUUAAAAGUUUGGGGUUGCGAUGCUUAUGUGAAAAAGUUUCAGGCUGAUAAGCUCGAACCCAAAGCGGAAAAAUGCAUCUUCAUAGAAUACCUAAAACAGUUGGGUAUACCUCCUAUUUCAGAUCCGGAAGCAAAAGUAAUUGUUUCUAGAAACGGGUCCUUUCUCGAGGAAAAGUUUCUCUCGAAAAAAUUGAGUGGGAGGAUGGUGGAGACUUGAUGAGGUUAUUGGGCACAGGAAGUUGUUCCUGUGGCACCUACACCAAUUGAAGUGGAAGCUUAUGAUAGUGAUCAUGAAACUUCGGAUCAAGUCACUACCAAACCUCAUAGGUCGACAAGGAUGCGUACUACUUCAGAGUGGUACGUAAUCCUGUCCUGGAAGUCAUGUUGCUAGACAACAAUGAACCUACGAGCUACGGAGAAGCGUGUCACAUCCUAGUUAGCCAUGCAUUAGAGUGUUGCAUCAUGUUUACUCUUUCAUCAGAAACUUGAAAUGGGGAUCUGUGAAACCCUCAGAAUCAUUUUGAAAAUGACCCAAAUAAAAAUUUCUCCAAAAGGGUCCAAGAAAAUGCUCAUGUUGCUCUCUGAAAAUAUUGGACAGAGAUAAAAAUCAAACCAAUAUUUUUAGUGGCUCAUGGACAUUUAUUUUGGGCAUUUGGAAUUAAUGCAUAAAUAUUUGCAUUGGAAAUAUAUUAAUUAUAUAUAUUAAUAUAUGCCCAAAUAUUAUGCCAUUUAUAAAAGAGCUCUGGAAUAAUAUAUAUAGCUCCUGCAAAAAUUGGCAUAAGUUAAAUAAAUGAUUUAAUAUAUUUUUUAAAUCAAAACAAAUGUCAGAAAUUAGAAAACAGAAAAAUAUAUAACAGGAGGAGCUUACCUGGGCUCCUCCACUGUGCGGCCCAGCCAGCUGGCCGGCCCAGCCAGCAGCCGGCCCAGCCCAUCUCCCUCCUCUGUCGUCUUCGUCCCGACAGAGGGAGGGGAGUGUGGCCGGCGCGCGCGCGCCACCGCGCCACGCCACCUCUCUCCCUGCCUGCCUGCCCUCCCUCUCCUCGCCUCGAUGCCCUGGACGACGCCACGCCUCCCCCCCUGCUCUCUCUCACUCUCCCCCGGCUCUUCCUUCCUCUCCCUCGCUCUCUCUCUCACACGGCCGAACACCACCGUCGCCGCCGUUCGCCAUAGCAGCCAUCUCCGGCCACCCCUCGCUCCCCCGACUAGCUCAGAAGCUCCGCCACGACCCCCUCUUCCUCCCCACCGCUCCACAGCUCCCCGGAAGCCCUGCAUCGCCGCCACGUCGCCGUUCCCCUCUUCGGGCUCCGACCAUCGUCGCCGUCGAAUUCGUCGUCUCCAGCGCGUCCCCGAGCCCGCUAACCAUCCCUGCAGCUCCGCGGUGAGCCCCCGGAUCGUUUCCCCCUUCUCCCCUGGUCUCUUUCGACCUCUAGGCCCUAGCCCCACCUUGGCCGAGAGCUCCACGCCGCCGGCGAUGUCGCCGUCGUGGCCACGGUCACCGUAGCACCCAACCGAGCGCACUAUCGUGCUCCCCACCUCACCAGGAGCACGCAGCACGCACUAACGCCGCCCCAAACCCCCUGCAACGUCGAUUCCGACCGCACCCGAACUCCGGCAGCCGCAGCCGAGCUCGCCGCCGUCGACUCCGGCCACCCCAGGGCCAGCCACGGCCACCGUCCGACGCGCCGUCGAGCUAGCUAUCCAACGCACCUAGCCGCACGCCGUUUGGAGCACCACAGAGGAAACCCGAGGCCCCUGCACGCCGCGGACCUCGCCGGCGACUAACCGCCGGCGGGUUUGACCUGUCCGACCUGAGGUUUGACCCCCCCAGGGUCACUGACGCGUGGGCCCUGUCGGACAGGUGGUUAGUUAGUACUAAUUACCGUUAGUCAACCCCCCCUGACACUGACAGUGGGCCCCAGCGCCACUAAUCCCUAAUUAGGAUUAAUUUAAACCUGUUAAACCCCCCUGUCACUGACGUGUGGCCCCCACACGUCAGGUUUGACUUCAGCCAGCCGCAGUUGACCACUGACGUCAUGCUGGCGCAAUAAUUAUAAUUUCUGGAUUUAAUUUAAAUCAGGAAAUUCCAGAAUAUUAUUUAAACUUCAAAAAUUCAUAACUUUUAUUCUGUAACUCCAAAUUGGACAAAUUAUAUAUGAAAAAUGAUCAGAAAAAUCCAAUCUAUCCAUCUGUACUAUUUUCAUGCAUGAUCAAACAAGUUAAAUUGAUAUUUUAAGCAGAACAAGGAAAAGCACUUUAAAAGGCCAUGUUUGAGUUUGAAAUUUGAAUCUUUGAUUCAAAUUUGUUCAAACCCUUCUGGUUUUAGUUGCAUUAGCCCAACACACUCAUAUUGCUAUGUUUCAUGCAUGCAUCAUAUUGUUGCACAUUGUUUGGUGAUGGUUGUGUAUCGGUGUCCUUUGCGACAGGUUCUGCCUCCGAAGAGUACCGUGAUUACCCUAACGAAGAACCGUAUCAGUGCAUCGAACCAUCAGGCAAGCAACCAACCAUUUGAUCAUAUCGAUACAAUCCCAUGUUCUCGCUCCUGCUCUCUUUUACUGCAUUAAGACAACGCGUUUCAAACUGCUGUGUGCUACGGUAGUUGAACCCAUUUCCUCUGCAUGACCUGUCAUUGCCACAGUAACUAGAUGAAACCCACUAGCAUGUGUAGGAGUUGAUUGAGCCAUAUGUAUGUGUUGUUCCUACCUUGCUAUGCCUGCUAUGCUUAGAGUCGUGUCAGGUCUGGUUCAUCUGGGUGAUGGGCUAGAGUGAAAUGGUUAUGUCGGUAAUGAGAGUGGUGUGGUGAACACGUUUUGGUAAAGGUAUCGAUGAGAGGCCAUGUAGGAGUACAUGGUGGGUUGUUUCAUUGAAGCCGACCUUAAGCACUAAGAUCUGUAUGUGUGAUUUAAGAAUCAGCUACUACCAUGCAUUGGGCCCGAAACCAAUGGACCCUCUCGGCUUCUUAUUCACCCUAGUUCUCCAUCCAGGAGUUGCAAGUAGUUUCUGGUGUUUGUAGCCUACUGGAGGCCGUGGACAGCGCUGACCGUAGGGGUGGGCUGUGAUGCGGUAGGUACGUGGCACGGUGUACCGAAUACCCGUUAGGUAUCUCGGGAACCCUGUUCACAUCGUUCGGGGCCGUAUGGGAAACCUCGGCCGGACUCCCUGCGGAUGGAACCUGGAUAGGCGAUAAACCUGGACUGGAGGCUUAGGUGAUUAGGUAGGUCGUGGCCGACACCCACGUUGGGCUUCCGCUUGAAGGUUGCCGAGUACAUGUCGUGUGAACGACGGUAAGUGGUGAGAGCGUGUAUGAAGAAGUACACCCCUGCAGGGUUAACAUGAUCUAUUCGAAUAGCCGCGUCCGCGGUAAAGGACUACUUGGUUGCCUAUACAGUUCAUAGACAAGUAAAUGGAAACUACUAAAAGUCUCAAGAUAAGUGUGAGUGCCGAGGAUGGCUCUUCCGUAGGAAGACGGAGGUGGAUCCUCGGUAGUGUAUUGAAGUGGUGAGUAGUGGACUCGUGUGCGCAAAACCAUUUCAAGUUGGAGUAUCGUAGGAUAGCCUAGCCAAGAGUCAAAGCUGGCUUGCUGCAAUAACUCCACCAACCCUUCUUGAUACUAUGCAUGUAUGUAGGAUCUGAUGUAAGUCUUGCUGAGUACCUUUGUACUCAUGUUGCUAUAAUCUACAUUUUUACAGAAGACGCUGCAACCCCUUCUGAUGGGUUCUAUGUAGACGUUGACAUCAACGAGUAGGCUAAAGACCCAGGUGGUGACCCUAAGCUUGUGGAGGACCACGUAGUAUAGUUAGGCUUUCCAAGCCUCUUUUAUUUUACUAGUUGUCUGUACUCAGACAAGUUACUUCCGCUGUUGGCUUGUAUGACUGUAUGACUUGUAUGUUGGGUCGUGAGACCCGUACCUUUGUGUAUGUUAUGUAUGGCUCCCUGAGCCUUAAAUAAAGUACUUGUGUCAUAGAGUCAUGUUGUGAUGCUUCGUUGUAUUUGCACAUAUCGAGCAUAUUGUGUGUAUGAUUGAAAUGCUUGGUAUGUGUGGGAUCUGACUAUCUAGUUGUUUAUCUUUAGUAGCCUCUCUUACCGGGAAAUGUCUCCUAGUGUUACCGCUGAGCCAUGGUAGCUUGCUACUGCUCUGGAACACUUAGGCUGGCCGGCAUGUGUCCUUCUUCGUUCCUGUGUCUGUCCCUUCGGGGAAAUGUCACGCUUCGAGUACCGGAGUCCUGUUAGCCCGCUACAGCCCGGUUUACCGGAGUCCUGCUAGCCCAGUGCUACAGCCCGGACCCACUUGCUGAUGACCGACACGUUCGAAGCUGGGUCAUGGAUGCCUGUCCCUGUAAGUCUGUGCCACUUUGGGUUUACGACUAGUCAUGUCAGCCCGGGCUCUUUAUCAUAUGGAUGCUAGCGACACUAUCAUAUACGUGAGCCAAAAGGCGCAAACGGUCCCGGGAAAAAGGUAAGACAACACCCGUGGGGAUACCGUGCGUGAGGCCGCAAAGUGAUAUGAGGUGUUACCAGCUAGAUCGAUGUGACAUCGAGUCGGGGUCCUGACAGCGUUGGCAUCAGAGCCGGACUGCCUGUAGGUUCUCCAAGCCAAACUGGUCGAUGUUGAGUCUAGAAAUUCUUUAGUUAUAUGUAGGGGAAUUGUUUGUGGGUUGGAACGUAAGGCUCUUUUUAUUCCUUAUACCUUAUGACUUUCUGAUCUGAGUCAGUCCAUUCUUCCACCGGGGUUAAGGAAUUAGGAUCUGUUCUCUCUAUCAGGAUCACGAGUUACUAAUCAGUAGUACCUUAUAAGUUUGAGGGAUACAAGCCUAGUUCAGUUCUACUACCACCUUAUGUUGUUAGAAUGGUUUCAGAACUUUGAUAUGAUGAUGUUGAGUAUGUACGAAAUCCUUUGUCAAAUGUCUCAAAUCCUUUUGAGCAUUUACAGCUGUUAUGCUGCCGAAAUUUUGCUAGAAGUUCUAAUGCCUUUGCAUUAUGAUUGUGCUUCCAGAUGGCCACUCGCGACCUCAAUCAAGUGGUUCGCCUGACUCGAUGCCUAGAUGUACCCGGCCAUACUGCUAAGUUGGUCAGGGUAAUGACUGAGGCUGGAUACCGCUGGUAUCCCGAGUACACGGUCGAAGAGCAAUUCCGGGACUUCAAUCAAAGCCAGUAUCUCUGCACUGUCAGGAUAUUUCCAUCUUAUCCUGGAUCCACCGAGCCUCUUCACUGCUCCUAUGGACUCGGGGUUACUAUUGAGAUGGCUGUGCAGGACGCCGCCUACUCUAUGAUGACCAUUACGCGAGUCAGAUCUGGUUUAUUUCGGGACUCUGAUUUCCGGUAUAUGCCAGGAUCACUUCCGGGAGCACAAGGGUAUCUCCAGGCUAUCUAUGCUGACCCCACUCAGGAGGAUUCACGGACUCGCACCACUGCUGAGAUGCUCGAGGAUAAGGACCGUGAAAAUCGGGCCUUAAGGUUAGAGCUCUUCAAUACCCGUGCUGACCACUGGGCUACUUUGACUCGGUUCGCACCGGCGGUGCAAGCUGGAUAUUCAGAUAUGCGCGAUCUCUAUCCUGUGAGAUCUGCUCUGCCGGACGUGAUGGUUUGGCGUGAUGUAGGAGGCAUCACCCCACCUCGCGGUCCCCGCAGGCCACCGUCUGUUGGUCCAAGGCCUCAUCCUAGCCCCUAUGGUCCACAAGCUCCGCGAGACCGUCUGUUUCCGGAUGAUCAUGUUGAACCUCCAGGCUAUGGAGGCAACUUCUACGAGGACUACUACGGAUCGGUCUGAGCUAGUGGUAGUAUCACUAGUUCGCACUAGCUGUGUCUUCUAUCGUCCCGCGUGACUCGUGGGAUAUGACCUAGUUUGUACUCCUUCCGGAGGGGUAGAAAAAUAAUGUAUAGGAGCUUGGAAUGCCUCCGAUGAGAUGUAAUCCUCUUUUCACCGUAAUAGUACUUUGUUUGGUCUUGUACUAAACCCUGUAUGGUGUGUAUGACGAUGGAAUAAAAGAAGCAGUUUCUGUAUCUACCAUGUCAUACGGAUGAUCAUCUUGCAUUCCGAGUUAUUCCUUACAUUUUGUAUCCCAUGUUGGAAUUUUAUCAUCCUGACUAAAUCAUUGUCUUGUUUACCUAGGAUGGUCAACACGCGCGCUAACCCUGCUUCUCAAGAGCAGGCCGAAGGCAGUGAAGUCAGGGAUGCAAAUCUGCCUCAUCCUCCUUCACUAGCCGAGGUUAUGAUGGAAGCUGAGAGAAACAAGCGGGAGACCAACCGUUUGUUGGAGCGUAUUGAACAGAAUACAGCACACCAUCAGAGGGCUAACGUGGUGUCACUCAGUGAUUUUAUCAAAUUGCAUCCACCCACGUUCCACCACUCCGUCGAGCCUCUCGACGCUGAUGACUCGCUUCGCAGUAUCUCUCACAAACUGCGUUCCGCGCUGGUAGCGGAGGCUGACAAGGUCACCUUGCUGCAUAUCAUCUUGAAGGCCCCGCCAGUCUAUGGUGGGAGAAUUAUGGAGCUAUGCGCCCAGCGGGCCAUGUCACUACUUGGGCUGAGUUCAGCGAGGCUUUCUGUGAACAUCACAUUCCGGAGGGUCUCAUGGACCGUAAACGUGAAGAAUUUUGCAGUUUCACCCAAGGCCGACUUUCUGUGGAUGCCUAUAGCAGGGAGUUUGGUAAUCUCGCCCGACAUGCAACUGAGGAAGUGUCUACUGACGCCAAGAAGCAAGCAAGGUUCCGUAAGGGCCUUAGUCCUGAGCUUCGCCGCGACCUCCGUCUGCAUGAGUGCACAUCUUUUCAGAAACUUGUCAACAAAGCCAUCAGUGCUGAAACUGGUCAGACUGACUAUGACGCAACACGCAAGCAUGGCCGUGACAUGGGUUCCUCAUCCGGUGCUGGUCCUCAGAAGCGCCGCGUGUGGGUGCCCAACACCGCCCUGCCACCCAGAUUCACACCGAGGCCAUCUUUCUAGGCGCCUCGCCCUAUUCAACAGUCUGCACCGACCAAGCCCUAUGGGGGUCCAACCAAUAAUGCUCCUCCACGUACCAGUUCCGUGACUUGUUUCAAGUGUGGGGAGUCUGGCCACUAUAUGCGUGAGUGUCCCCAGACCAACCCCAAUCAAUCUGCUAAAGCUGUUGGCUGUGGCAAGCCGACAGGGAAAAUAUUCCACGCCAAGCCGGUCACCGCUUCACGUGGCCAUGUUAACUGUAUCUCUGCCAAAGAAGCUCAAGAGGAUCCCAACGUCGUUCUCGGUACGCUUCUUGUUAAUUGCCACCCGGCAUCUGUUCUUUUCGAUACAGGAGCCUCUCAUUCUUUUAUAUCUGAAAACUAUGCUCGCUUGCAUAACGUCGCAUUCGGUGAUAUGCCAACCUCUAUGGUAAUUCAAACUCCGGGAUCCAAAUGGCAAACUUCUAGAGUAAGCCAUGGAAAUGAAAUCCAAGUCGACAGACUUGUUUUUCUCGCAUCUUUGAUAGCCCUUAAAUCUUCAGAUAUUAAUAUCAUUCUGGGUAUGGACUGGAUGUCAGCUCAUCAUGCCAAAUUGAUUGCUUCUCUAGGACUGUUCAACUCACCCAUCCUUCGGGGAAGAUAGUCAAUGUCUUGACCCGAAUAGCCAAGCGACAAUUAUAUUCUCUUAACGCCAGCCCUUUGCCAGACCUUGAGGACGUGCCGGUAGUCCGUGACUUCCCGGAUGUCUUUCCAGAGGAAUUGCCAGGUGUUCCACCUGACAGGGAUGUUGAGUUCGUAAUCGACCUCAUCCCCGGAACCGUUCCGAUUGCUAGAAGACCUUAUAAGAUGGCACCACUAGAACUAGCCGAGCUUAAGAAACAACUCGAUGAAUCCUUGAAAAAGGGUUUCAUCCGACCUAGCUCAUCUCCGUGGGCUUGCCCCGUCCUAUUCGUCAAGAAGAAGGAUGGUACGGACCGGAUGGUUGUAGAUUACCGACCUGUCAAUUUGGUCACAAUCAAGAACAAAUAUCCACUUCCCAGGAUCAACGACCUGUACGAUCAGCUUGCUGGAUCCUCAGUCUUCUCCAAGAUGGAUUUGAGGUUGGGCUACCAUCAAAUAAAAAUCAGAAACGGGGACAUUCCUAAAACGGCCUUUGUUACUCGUUAUGGCCAAUACGAGUACACCGUCAUGUCCUUCGGUUUAACCAACGCUCCAGCCACCUUUUCUCGGUUAAUGAACUCAAUCUUCAUGGAGUAUUUGGAUAAAUUCGUCGUAGUUUAUCUCGAUGAUAUACUCAUCUACUCCAAGAACGAGGAAGAACAUGCCGAACAUUUAAGGCUAGUGUUGAAGAAACUUCGAGAGCAUCGCCUUUAUGCCAAAUUUUCGAAAUGUGAAUUCUGGUUGUCAGAAGUGACCUAUCUGGGUCAUGUAAUAUCUGGUAAAGGUAUUGCUGUUAACCCUGAGCGAGUUCAAGCCGUCCUUAAUUGGACUCCAUCUGAAUCGGUCAAGCAAGUUCGGAGUUUUCUGGGCUUAGCGAGCUAUUGCCGUCGCUUUGUCGAGAACUUCUCCAAGGUUGCUAAACCUCUAACCGAACUCCUCAAGAAAGAUAAAAAGUUCGAAUGGACUCCACAAUGUGAGCACAGCUUUCAGGAACUGAAAAGACGCCUGACCUCUGCUCCCGUACUGGUACCGCCAGACUUCUCCAAGGACUUUGUUAUCUACUGCGACGCCUCGCGACAAGGACUAGGUUGCAUUCUUAUGCAAGAUCGACACGUAAUUGCUUACGCUUCACGGCAAUUGCACCCACAUGAGGAGAAUUAUCCUACUCAUGAUCUAGAGCUUGCAGCCGUAGUCUAUGCACUUAAGACCUAGCGACAUUACCUCCUCGGUAAUCGUUGCGAAAUAUUCACUGAUCACCAAAGUCUGAAGUACAUUUUCACCCAACCGGAUUUGAAUCUCAGGCAGAGACGUUGGGUUGAAUUGAUCACAGACUUCGACUUAGGAAUAACCUACACCCCAGGGAAAGCCAACGUCAUGGCUGAUGCGCUAAGUCGUAAAUCUUAUUGUAACAACCUGAUGUUACAACAAAGUCAACCGCUUCUCCAUGAGGAACUUCGGAAGCUUAACCUUCACAUUGUACCUCAAGGUUUUCUUUCCACCUUGGUGGCAAAACCUACCCUUACGGAUCAAAUUAUCAAAGCACAGAAGGUAGAUCCGGGAAUCUCCCGCAUCAAGAGGAACAUUCAGAAAGGUAUUGCGAAUUGUUUCUCCAUUAAUGAUCAAGGAGUCGUAUACUUCGGGAAUCGACUAGUGGUUCCCAAAGUGCGCAACCUAAGGCGAUUAAUCCUUAAGGAAGCUCAUGAAUCUCCUCUCACCAUUCAUCCCGGUAGCACUAAAAUGUAUCAGGACCUACGCCAGAGGUUCUGGUGGACUAGGAUGAAGAGAGAAAUUGCUCAGUAUAUUGCUAACUGCGACGUCUGUCGUCGUGUAAAAGCAGAGCACCAACGGCCUGCUGGCACCCUUCAACCCUUAGCUAUUCCUGAAUGGAAAUGGGAUAAAAUUGGUAUGGAUUUCAUUACCGGUUUUCCCAGGACCAAGAGAGGGAAUAAUGCUAUUUUCGUCGUGGUCGAUCGUCUUUCCAAAGUAGCCCAUUUCUUACCUGUUCGUGAGAGUAUAACCGCUAGUCAGCUGGCAGAUUUGUACAUCUCCCGAAUAGUGUCUCUCCAUGGUGUUCCUUUGGAAAUUAACUCGGAUCGAGGAAGUCUUUUCACCUCUCGAUUUUGGGAAAGCUUCCAAAAUGCUAUGGGAACCCGUCUCUCUUUUAGCACCGCCUUCCACCCUCAGUCAAGUGGUCAAGUGGAACGCGUCAACCAAAUUCUAGAAGACAUGCUUCGAGCCUCUGUUAUCUCAUUCGGAAUGGACUGGGAGAAGUGCCUUCCAUUUGCCGAAUUCGCUUACAACAACAGCUAUCAAUCUAGCUUGGGUAAAGCCCCUUUUGAAGUUCUCUAUGGACGACGAUGUCGAACACCCCUUAACUGGUCAGAGACCGGGGAAAGACAAUUCUUUGGCCCGGAUAUGAUUCAGGAAGCAGAAGAACAAGUUCGUGUCGUUCGUGAAAAGUUGAAAACAGCCCAAUCUCGUCAAAAGAGUCAAUAUGACCGAAAACAUAAGGCUAUGACUUUCGAGGUUGACGAGAAGGCUUAUCUUCGGGUCACCCCUCUGAAGGGAACCCAUCGUUUCGGUAUCAAAGGCAAAUUGGCUCCUCGUUACAUUGGACCUUUUCGCAUUCUUGCCAAACGAGGAGAAGUUGCCUACCAGUUGGAACUACCUCCGCACCUCUCCAGAGUUCACGAUGUCUUCCACGUUUCUCAACUCAGGCGUUGCUUCUCGGAUCCUAUCCGUGGAGUGGACCACGAAACGCUUGAUCUCCAAGAUGAUCUUACAUAUCGAGAGUACCCCAUUCGUAUCCUCGAUCAAGCCGAACGCACCACGUGACGUCAUAAUAUCAAGUUUCUCAAGGUUCAAUGGUCGCACCAUUCUGAGGAUGAAGCAACUUGGGAAAGGGAGGAUCGUCUUCGACUCGAAUAUCCCGCCUUCUUCCCGGAGGAACCCAAAUCUCGGGACGAGAUUCUUUUGAGUGGGGGUGAGUUGUCACAUCCUAGUUAGCCAUGCAUUAGAGUGUUGCAUCAUGUUUACUCUUUCAUCAGAAACUUGAAAUGGGGAUCUGUGAAACCCUCAGAAUCAUUUUGAAAAUGACCCAAAUAAAAAUUUCUCCAAAAGGGUCCAAGAAAAUGCUCAUGUUGCUCUCUGAAAAUAUUGGACAGAGAUAAAAAUCAAACCAAUAUUUUUAGUGGCUCAUGGACAUUUAUUUUGGGCAUUUGGAAUUAAUGCAUAAAUAUUUGCAUUGGAAAUAUAUUAAUUAUAUAUAUUAAUAUAUGCCCAAAUAUUAUGCCAUUUAUAAAAGAGCUCUGGAAUAAUAUAUAUAGCUCCUGCAAAAAUUGGCAUAAGUUAAAUAAAUGAUUUAAUAUAUUUUUUAAAUCAAAACAAAUGUCAGAAAUUAGAAAACAGAAAAAUAUAUAACAGGAGGAGCUUACCUGGGCUCCUCCACUGUGCGGCCCAGCCAGCUGGCCGGCCCAGCUAGCAGCCGGCCCAGCCCAUCUCCCUCCUCUGUCGUCUUCGUCCCGACAGAGGGAGGGGAGUGUGGCCGGCGCGCGCGCGCGCCACCGCGCCACGCCACCUCUCUCCCUGCCUGCCUGCCCUCCCUCUCCUCGCCUCGAUGCCCUGGACGACGCCACGCCUCCCCCCUGCUCUCUCUCACUCUCCCCCGGCUCUUCCUUCCUCUCCCUCGCUCUCUCUCUCACACGGCCGAACACCACCGUCGCCGCCGUUCGCCAUAGCAGCCAUCUCCGGCCACCCCUCGCUCCCCCGACUAGCUCAGAAGCUCCGCCACGACCCCCUCUUCCUCCCCACCGCUCCACGGUCCUCCAGAAGCCCUGCAUCGCCGCCACGUCGCCGUUCCCCUCUUCGGGCUCCGACCAUCGUCGCCGUCGAAUUCGUCGUCUCCAGCGCGUCCCGGAGCCCGCUAACCAUCCCUGCAGCUCCGCGGUGAGCCCCCGGAUCAUUUCCCCCUUCUCCCCUGGUCUCUUUCGACCUCUAGGCCCUAACCCCACCUUGGCCGAGAGCUCCACGCCGCCGGCGAUGUCGCCGUCGUGGCCACGGUCACCGUAGCACCCAACCGAGCGCACUAUCGUGCUUCCCACCUCACCAGGAGCACGCAGCACACACUAACGCCUCCCCAAACCCCUUGCAAGAUCGAUUCCGACCGCACCCGAACUCCGGCAGCCGCAGCCGAGCUCGCCGCCGUCGACUCCGGCCACCCCAGGGCCAGCCACGGCCACCGUCCGACGCGCCGUCGAGCUAGCUAUCCAACGCACCUAGCCGCACGCCGUUUGGAGCACCACAGAGGAAACCCGAGGCCCCUGCACGCCGCGGACCUCGCCGGCGACUAACCGCCGGCGGGUUUGACCUGUCCGACCUGAGGUUUGACCCCCCCAGGGUCACUGACGCGUGGGCCCUGUCGGACAGGUGGUUAGUUAGUACUAAUUACCGUUAGUCAACCCCCCCUGACACUGACAGUGGGCCCCAGCGCCACUAAUCCCUAAUUAGGAUUAAUUUAAACCUGUUAAACCCCCCUGUCACUGACGUGUGGCCCCCACACGUCAGGUUUGACUUCAGCCAGCCGCAGUUGACCACUGACGUCAUGCUGGCGCAAUAAUUAUAAUUUCUGGAUUUAAUUUAAAUCAGGAAAUUCCAGAAUAUUAUUUAAACUUCAAAAAUUCAUAACUUUUAUUCUGUAACUCCAAAUUGGACAAAUUAUAUAUGAAAAAUGAUCAGAAAAAUCCAAUCUAUCCAUCUGUACUAUUUUCAUGCAUGAUCAAACAAGUUAAAUUGAUAUUUUAAGCAGAACAAGGAAAAGCACUUUAAAAGGCCAUGUUUGAGUUUGAAAUUUGAAUCUUUGAUUCAAAUUUGUUCAAACCCUUCUGGUUUUAGUUGCAUUAGCCCAACACACUCAUAUUGCUAUGUUUCAUGCAUGCAUCAUAUUGUUGCACAUUGUUUGGUGAUGGUUGUGUAUCGGUGUCCUUUGCGACAGGUUCUGCCUCCGAAGAGUACCGUGAUUACCCUAACGAAGAACCGUAUCAGUGCAUCGAACCAUCAGGCAAGCAACCAACCAUUUGAUCAUAUCGAUACAAUCCCAUGUUCUCGCUCCUGCUCUCUUUUACUGCAUUAAGACAACGCGUUUCAAACUGCUGUGUGCUACGGUAGUUGAACCCAUUUCCUCUGCAUGACCUGUCAUUGCCACAGUAACUAGAUGAAACCCACUAGCAUGUGUAGGAGUUGAUUGAGCCAUAUGUAUGUGUUGUUCCUACCUUGCUAUGCCUGCUAUGCUUAGAGUCGUGUCAGGUCUGGUUCAUCUGGGUGAUGGGCUAGAGUGAAAUGGUUAUGUCGGUAAUGAGAGUGGUGUGGUGAACACGUUUUGGUAAAGGUAUCGAUGAGAGGCCAUGUAGGAGUACAUGGUGGGUUGUUUCAUUGAAGCCGACCUUAAGCACUGAGAUCUGUAUGUGUGAUUUAAGAAUCAACUACUACCAUGCAUUGGGCCCGAAACCAAUGGACCCUCUCGGCUUCUUAUUCACCCUAGUUCUCCAUCCAGGAGUUGCAAGUAGUUUCUGGUGUUUGUAGCCUACUGGAGGCCGUGGACAGCGCUGACCGUAGGGGUGGGCUGUGAUGCGGUAGGUACGUGGCACGGUGUACCGAAUACCCGUUAGGUAUCUCGGGAACCCUGUUCACAUCGUUCGGGGCCGUAUGGGAAACCUCGGCCGGACUCCCUGCGGAUGGAACCUGAAUAGGCGAUAAACCCAGACUGGAGGCUUAGGUGAUUAGGUAGGUCGUGGCCGACACCCACGUUGGGCUUCCGCUUGAAGGUUGCCGAGUACAUGUCGUGUAAGCGACGGUAAGUGGUGAGAGCGUGUAUGAAGAAGUACACCCCUGCAGGGUUAACAUGAUCUAUUCGAAUAGCCGCGUCCGCGGUAAAGGACUACUUGGUUGCCUAUACAGUUCAUAGACAAGUAAAUGGAAACUACUAAAAGCCUCAAGAUAAGUGUGAGUGCCGAGGAUGGCUCUUCCGUAGGAAGACGGAGGUGGAUCCUCGGUAGUGUAUUGAAGUGGUGAGUAGUGGACUCGUGUGCGCAAAACCAUUUCAAGUUGGAGUAUCGUAGGAUAGUCUAGCCAAGAGUCAAAGCUGGCCUGCUGCAAUAACUCCACCAACCCUUCUUGAUACUAUGCAUGUAUGUAGGAUCUGAUGUAAGUCUUGCUGAGUACCUUUGUACUCAUGUUGCUAUAAUCUACAUUUUUACAGAAGACGCUGCAACCCCUUCUGAUGGGUUCUAUGUAGACGUUGACAUCAACGAGUAGGCUAAAGACCCAGGUGGUGACCCUGAGCUUGUGAUGGACCACAUAGUAUAGUUAGGCUUCCAAGCCUCUUUUAUUUUACUAGUUGUCUGUACUCAGACAAAUUACUUCCGCUGUUGGCUUGUAUGACUGUAUGACUUGUAUGUUGGGUCGUGAGACCCGUACCUGUGUGUAUGAUAUGUAUGGCUCCCUGAGCCUUAAAUAAAGUACUUGUGUCAUAGAGUCAUGUUGUGAUGCUCCGUUGUAUUUACACAUAUCGAGCAUAUUGUGUGUAUGAUUGAAAUGCUUGGUAUGUGUGGGAUCUGACUAUCUAGUUGUUUAUCUUUAGUAGCCUCUCUUACCGGGAAAUGUCUCCUAGUGUUACCACUGAGCCAUGGUAGCUUGCUACUGCUCUGGAACACUUAGGCUGGCCGGCAUGUGUCCUUCUUCGUUCCUGUGUCUGUCCCUUCGGGGAAAUGUCACGCUUUGAGUACCGGAGUCCUGUUAGCCCGCUACAGCCCGGUUUACCGGAGUCCUGCUAGCCCAGUGCUACAGCCCGGACCCACUUGCUGAUGACCGACACGUUCGAAGCUGGGUCAUGGAUGCCUGUCCCUGUAAGUCUGUGCCACUUUGGGUUUACAACUAGUCAUGUCAGCCUGGGCUCUUUAUCAUAUGGAUGCUAGCGACACUAUCAUAUACGUGAGCCAAAAGGCGCAAACGGUCCCGGGCAAAGGUAAGGCGACACCCGUGGGAAUACCGUGCGUGAGGCCGCAAAGUGAUAUGAAGUGUUACCGGCUAGAUCGAUGUGACAUCGAGUCGGGGUCCUGACAGCGUUGAAUUAAAUCAGGAAAUUCCAGAAUAUUAAUUAAACUUCAAAAAUUCAUAACUUUUAUUCUGUAACUCCAAAUUGGACAAAUUAUAUAUGAAAAAUGAUCAGAAAAAUCCAAUCUAUCCAUCUGUACCAUUUCCAUGCAUGAUCAAACAAGUUAAGUUGAUGUUUUAAUCAGAACAAGAAAAGGCACUUUAAAAGGCCAUAUUUGAAUUUGAAAUUUGAAUCCUUGAUUCAAAUUUGUUCAAACCCUUCUGGUUUUAGUUGCAUUAGCCCAACACACUCAUAUUGCCAUGUUUCAUGCAUGCAUCAUAUUGUUGCAUAUUGUUUGGUGAUGUUUGUGUAUCGAUGUCCUUUGCGACAGGAUCUGUCCCCGAGGAGUACCGUGAUUACCCUAACGAAGAACCGUAUCCGUGCAACGAACCAUCAGGCAAGCAACCAACCAUCUGAUCAUAUCGAUACAAUCCCAUGUUCUCGCUCCUGCUCUCUUUUACUGCAUUAAGACAACGCGAUUCAAACUGCUGUGUGUUACGGUAGUUGAACCCAUUUCCUCUGCAUGACCUGUCAUUGCCACAGUAACUAGAUGAAACCCACUAGCAUGUGUAGGAGUUGAUUGAGCCAUAUGUAUGUGUUGUUCCUACCUUGCUAUGCCUGCUAUGCUUAGAGUUGUGUCAGGUCUGGUUCAUCUGGGUGAUGGGCUAGAGUGAAAUGAUUAUGUCGGUAAUGGGAGUGGUGUGGUGAACACGAUUUGGUAAAGGUAUCGAUGAGAGGCCAUGUAGGAGUACAUGGUGGGUUGUUUCAUUGAAGCCGACCUUAAGCACUGAGAUCUGUAUGUGUGAUUUAAGAAUCAACUACUACCAUGCAUUGGGCCCGAAACCAAUGGACCCUCUCGGCUUCUUAUUCACCCUAGUUCUCCGUCCAGGAGUUGCAAGUAGUUUCUGGUGUUUGUAGCCUACUGGAGGCCGUGGACAGCGCUGACCGUAGGGGUGGGCUGUGAUGCGGUAGGUACGUGGCCGGGUGUACCGAAUACCCGUUAGGUAUCUCGGGAACCCUGUUCACAUCGUUCGGGGCCGUAUGGGAAACUUCGGCCGGACUCCCUGCGGAUGGAACCUGAAUAGGCGAUAAACCUGGACUGGAGGCUUAGGUGAUUAGGUAGGUCGUGGCCGACACCCACGUUGGGCUUCCGCUUGAAGGUUGCCGAGUACAUGUCGUGUAAGCGACGAUAAGUGGUGAGAGCGUGUAUGAAGAAGUACACCCCUGCAGGGUUAACAUGAUCUAUUCGAAUAGCCGCGUCCGCGGUAAAGGACUACUUGGUUGCCUAUACAGUUCAUAGACAAGUAAAUGGAAACUACUAAAAGCCUCAAGAUAAGUGUGAGUGCCGAGGAUGGCUCUUCCGUGGGAAGACGGAGGUGGAUCCUCGGUAGUGUAUUGAAGUGGUGAGUAGUGGACUCGUGUGCGCAAAACCAUUUCAAGUUGGAGUAUCGUAGGAUAGUCUAGCCAAGAGUCAAAGCUGGCUUGCUGCAAUAACUCCACCAACCCUUCUUGAUACUAUGCAUGUAUGUAGGAUCUGAUGUAAGUCUUGCUGAGUACCUUUGUACUCAUGUUGCUAUAAUCUACAUUUUUACAGAAGACGCUGCAACCCCUUCUGAUGGGUUCUAUGUAGACGUUGACAUCAACGAGUAGGCUAAAGACCCAGGUGGUGACCCUGAGCUUGUGAAGGACCACGUAGUAUAGCUAGGCUUUCCAAGCCUCUUUUAUUUUACUAGUUGUCUGUACUCAGACAAGUUACUUCCGCUGCUGGUUUGUAUGACUGUAUGACUUGUAUGUUGGGUCGUGAGACCCGUACCUUUGUGUAUGAUAUGUAUGGCUCCCUGAGCCUUAAAUAAAGUACUUGUGUCAUAGAGUCAUGUUGUGAUGCUUCGUUGUAUUUGCACAUAUCGAGCAAAUUGUGUGUAUGAUUGAAAUGCUUGGUAUGUGUGGGAUCUGACUAUCUAGUUGUUUAUCUUUAGUAGCCUCUCUUACCGGGAAAUGUCUCCUAGUGUUACCGCUGAGCCAUGGUAGCUUGCUACUGCUCUGGAACACUUAGGCUGGCCGGCAUGUGUCCUUCUUCGUUCCUGUGUCUGUCCCUUCGGGGAAAUGUCACGCUUUGAGUACCGGAGUCCUGUUAGCCCGCUACAGCCCGGUUUACCGGAGUCCUGCUAGCCCAGUGCUACAGCCCGGACCCACUUGCUGAUGACCGACACGUUCGAAGCUGGGUCAUGGAUGCCUGUCCCUGUAAGUCUGUGCCACUUUGGGUUUACGACUAGUCAUGUCAGCCCGGGCUCCUUAUCAUAUGGAUGCUAGCGACACUAUCAUAUACGUGAGCCAAAAGGCGCAAACGGUCCCGGGAAAAGGUAAGACGACACCCGUGGGGAUACCGUGCGUGAGGCCGCAAAGUGAUAUGAGGUGUUACCGGCUAGAUCGAUGUGACAUCGAGUCGGGGUCCUGACAAAGCGAUGGUGCGCCUGCAUUCCGAAGAAUGGCUCGAGGCCAUAAAAUCCGAGAGAGGAUCCAUGUAUAAAACAAAGUAUAGACUUUGAAAGAACUACUUGAUGGUCGUAAGGCUGUUGGGUGCAGAUGGAUUUUAAAAGGAAGACAUACAAUGAUGGUGAGUGUCACCAUUAAGAAAGCUCGACUUGUCGUUAAGAUGUUUCCCGACAAGUUCAAGGAGUUCAUUACGAUGAGACUUUCUCACUCGUAGUGAUGCUAAGAGUCUGUUGAAAUUAUGUUAGUAGUUACUGCAUUAUUUAUGAAAUCUUGCAGAUAGGAUGUCAAAACAUUGUUUCCUCGACGUUUUUCUUGAGGAAAGGUUGUAUGUGAUACAACCAGAAGGUCUUGUCAAUCCUGAAAGAUGCUAACAAGUAUGCAAAGCUCCAGCAAUCCUUCUAAGGACUGGAGUAAGCAUCUCGGAGUUGGAAUGUACGCUUUGAUAAGAUGAUCCAAGAUUUUGGGUUUAUACAAAGUUUAUGAGAAACUUGUAUUUCCAAAGAAGUGAGUGGGAGCACUAUAGAAUUUUUGAUGAGUAUAUGUUGUUAACAUAUUGUUGAUCAGAAAUAAUGUAGAAUUUCUGGAAAGCAUACAGGGUUAUUUGAAAAGUGUUUUUCGAUGGAAAACCUAGAUUAAGCUACUUGAACAUUGAGCAUCAAGAUCUAUAAGGAUAGAUCAAAAACGCUUAAUAGUACUUGCAAAUGAAUACAUACCGUGACAAGAUUUUGAAGGAGUUCAAAAUAGAUCAGCAAAGAAGGAGUUCUUGGCUGUGUUACAAGGUGUGAGUAUUGAGUAAAGACUCAAGACCUGACCACGGCAGAAGAGAGAGAAAGGAUGAAGGUCGUCCCCUAUGCUUUAGACAUAGGCUCUACAGUAUGCUAUGCUGUGUACCGCACCUGAAGUGUGCCUUGCCAUGAGUCAGUCCAGGGGUACAAGGGUGAUCCAGGAAUGGAUCACAUGACAGCGGUCGAACUUAUCCUUAGUAACUAGUGGACUAAGGGAUUUUCUCGAUUAUGGGGGUGGUAAAAGAGUUCGUCGUAAAGGGUUACAUCGAUGCAAACUUUGACACUAAUCUGGAUGACUCUGAAUAGUAAACCGGAUUCAUAUAGUAGAGCAGUUAUUUGGAAUAGCUCAAAGUAGCGCGUGGUAGCUACAUCUACAAGAUGACAUAGAGAUUUGCAAAGCACACAUGAAUCUGAAAGGUUCAGACCCAUUGACUAAUAAACCUCUCUCACAAGCAAGAUAUGAACAAACCCCAUGGGUGUUGGAUUCAUUACAGUCACAUAGUGAUGUGAACUAGAUUAUUGACUCUAGUACAAGUGGGAGACUGUUGGAAAUAUGCCCUAGAGGCAAUAAUAAAAUGGUUAUUAUUGUAUUUCCUUGUUCAUGAUAAUUGUCUAUUGUUCAUGCUAUAAUUGUAUUAACCAGAAACCGUAAUACAUGUGUGAAUACAUAGACCACAACAUGUCCCUAGUAAGCCUCUAGUUGACUAGCUCGUUGAUCAAUAGAUGGUCAUGGUUUCUUGACCAUGGACAUUGGAUGUCAUUGAUAACGGGAUCACAUCAUUAGGAGAAUGAUGUGAUGGACAAGGCCCAAUCCUAAGCAUAGCACAAGAUCGUGUAGUUCAUCUGCUAAAGCUUUUCUAAUGUCAAGUAUCUUUUCCUUAGACCAUGAGAUUGUGGAACUCCCGGAUACUGUAGGAAUACUUUGGGUGUGCCAAACGUCACAACGUAACUGGGUGACUAUAAAGGUGCACUACGGGUAUCUCCGAAAGUGUUUGUUGGGUUGGCACGAAUCGAGACUGGGAUUUGUCACUCCGUAUGACGGAGAGGUAUCUCUGGGCCCACUCGGUAAGACAUCAUCGUAAUGAGCUCAAUGUGACUAAGGGUUAGUCACGGGAUGAUGUGUUACGGAACGAGUAAAGUGACUUGCCGGUAACGAGAUUGAACGAGGUAUUGGGAUACCGAUGAUCGAAUCUCGGGCAAGUAACGUACCGAUUGACAAAGGGAAUUGUAUACGGGAUUGCUUGAAUCCUCGACAUCAUGGUUCAUCCGAUGAGAUCAUCGUGGAACAUGUGGGAGCCAACAUGGGUAUCCAGAUCCCGCUGUUGGUUAUUGGCCGGAGAGUUGUCUCGGUCAUGUCUGCAUGGUUCUCGAACCCGUAGGGUCUACACACUUAAGGUUCGAUGACGCUAGGGUUAUUAGGAAGACUUGUAUGUGAUUACCGAAUGUUGUUCGGAGUCCCGGAUGAGAUCCUGGACGUCACGAGGAGUUCCGGAAUGGUACGUACGUGAAGAUUUAUAUGUGGGAAGUUAUCAUACGGUCACCGGAAAGGUUCGGGGGCAUAUCGGUAUUGUACCGGGGCCACCGGAGGGGUUCUGGGGGUCCACCGGGAGGGGAAACCUCUCCGGAGGGCCUUAUGGGCUAUAAGGGGAAGGGAACCAGCCCCAAGUGGGCUGGGGCGCCAACCCCCCAAGGGCCCAUGCGCCUAGGGUUGGGGGGAACCCUAAAGGGGGCACCCCCCUUGGCUUGGGGGGCAAGCCCCCUCCUCCUUAGCCGACGCCCCCCCUCUAGAUCUCAUCUAGAGGUGGCCGCCCCCCUUUCCCCCUCCCCUAUAAAUAGAGGGGCAAAGGGAGGGCUGCACCACCACAUCAUCCAAGGCGCAGCUCCUCCUCUCCCCAACACCUCUCCUCCUCCGUGUGAGCUUGGCGAAGCCCUGCGAGAACUGCCACUCCAUCACCUCCACGCCGUCGUGCUGCUGUUGGAGCUCUCUUCCUCAACCUCUCCCUCCUCCUUGCUGGAUCAAGGUGCGGGAGACGUCUCCGUUUCGUACGUGUGUUGAACGCGGAGGUGCCGUCCGUUCAGCGCUAGGAUCAUCGGUGAUUUGGAUCACGAUGAGUACGACUCCAUCAACCCCGUUCUCUUGAACGCUUCCGCUUAGCGAUCUUCAAGGGUAUGAAUAUGCACUCCCUCUCUCUCGUUGCUAGUAUCUCCUAGAUUGAUCUUGGUGACACGUAGGAAAAUUUUGAAUUAUUGCUACGUUCCCCAACAACACUCUCUCCUUGUUUAUUCCAAAAGUAGUUUCAGAAAUAAAAACAUCACCAAAAUGUGCAUAGCCCAUGAUCAUCUUAGCAUCAAUCAAAAAUAUGUUUCGUAUUUGUUCUUCACAAUCCAUUUGCAAUGCAUAUUGGAAUGACCGGUUUUCAGCAAUUUUUUCUUGGAAAUACUUAAGAAUGCUACCUGCUUGGCCAUAUGUAAUUUCUUGUCGCUACUUGGUCCGCAAAUAGUUCUUGUGAUCACGAAGGGUAUAGUUAAGAUUGAAUUGCCCACCAACUUAGCAGUUAGCCAAUUCAUGUGCAGAUUUUGGCCCUAUUCCCGCAUUGUCGGUGCACAAAAGUAGGGGCUCUCUUUUGUACCCCUUUACUUGUGCGCAGACAGUUAGAGCCGCGCCUGCGGCCAUACCUAGCGGGGCAGAGGAAGCAAAAGCACAAGACAACUAGAACAACGCCAAGACCAGAGACACAAAGAGCAAGAGGGCGAGGUGGACUCCCUCGGCAAGGCCCUUGCCGGGGCGGCCUCCGCAGCCCAGGCAAGACCCUUGCCGGGGCAACUUGCCCAACGCUAGCAGAGCGCGCCACCCUUGAGCCCAAGGGUUCCAACACCAUCUACCACAUUGGAACCAAGGCUCAGGAGGAACCUCCAUGGUGACAUACAUAUCUUUGUGAAGGCAAAUAGCCCACAAGACUAGACGAUGACCAGAAGACAAGACAAUCGCAAGCCCCCUUACCGAGGAUGCCCCCGAGGCCCCGACAAGGCUCGUUGCCGAAAACACUCGCAUGGCCCCGACAAGACUCUUGUUGAGGGCGAUCACAAGACUACCGCGACAAGACCUUGCCGCCCCAGCUCAGCGGCCAACCCACCAAUUGAGGCUAGUAGCCACGUGGCAGUACGUGGAUGCUAAUCCAGCUAGUCAAGCACCUGCGUGGUGGCAUGCAGAUCUUCGUGAAGACCCUACCAUCACGCCAUCUCAGCAGCGUGCCAGCUUACGUGGCGCUGCAUGCCUUGUUGGCCUGGACACAUGUUGGAGCGAGGCGGAACAGCGACGGACGGGACGGGCCUCAUUGCCAUCCCCAAUAAAGCAACGGGACACCUAAGGAGCGCAUUUAAUGUGCCUUGUCCCGUAAUGACAGGUGAUAAGCUUGUACACUAUUUACCUUUCCACCUCCUGUGUGUCACUGCGGCGACCCCUUUUUGACUAUAAAAGGAGGCCCGAGGCGUACUGGAGAAGGAUUCAUAUCUUUUGGACUACUCACGCACCGCAGCUAGUUCGGAAGCUCAAGAACACUCAAAUAUAAACCAAAGCAGGAUUAGGGUAUUACACAUCCUUGCGGCCCAAACCUGGGUAAACGAUCUUUGUGCUAGCUACUAGAGCCGCUCUUUGCACAACCCCGCGCCCGCCAACCGUAGAAGGGAUCCCAGUGAUUCCAUAGGUGUUGUUUCCACUGACAUCUUUGGCGCGCUAGGUAGGGGGGCAUAGUUGUGAAAAUCCGGUCUAGCAGUUUGUUUAGCAGUUCUUCAUCACUAUGGCUCCCAAGAAGAAAAGGAUCACGGCGAUCGGUUCAUUGGGAGCCGAACGACCUGUACUAGUGCGGGCGAGUGGUGGGGCGGCCGCGAACGGAAGCCGAGGCAUGGCACGAACACCCACAUCGCUCUGGCGGUCAAAGCCUGGCGAGCGGCAUCGUUCGUGCGUGAGACGACGGGCCACACGCCGCCAAAUCCAAAGACGGAGCCGGGCCCCCGCAGGCGGCGCGGGCCCCUCCAAGGGCAGCGUCAUGCCACCCAUAGGCGGCGCAGCGACUUCCAAGAUGCCUACGCCGGCGCCCAUGACGCGCUCUUCCAAGAUUGUGCGCGACGAGCAGCGCCACCAUGCUGGUGACCUCGGGCGCCGCUGUGGGAAGAGUCAUGCGCCUCAUUCGCGGGACAUAGAAGGCCAGCAUGCACACCGAGGCGCUGGCGAAAAUGGUGCACAGCUGCAAGGCCGUGAUAGAGCCCCUUCUAACGUGGUUAGAAGUCGGAGCGCAUCACGGUCCAUGUAGCUUUCGCCGCACCCACACCAACGGAAGCUUUGGCGCGCGCAUAGUUGCUCCUCGACUUUCCUCCUGCUGCGGAAAAGCUCGACGAGUGGAGAUCCACCAUCCGGAGCCUCGUCGGUGUUGCCAACAAAGAUGAGCCGUGACCAGCGGGGCCCUCAGGCCGGCGCUUCGUCGAGCCACCGCAUGCUAGUGGUGGAAAGACCGGAGGUGCUGCGGCCACGAUGCACUCUCCUCCCCCACGCCGGCCACCGUGGGUGUCAGUCCGUCGUGAUGACACUUGUGAUAAAAUUUGCAUAGCAUCGUCCGACCCACGGACCCAUCGCGAUCAACGCCAAGUUCUUCGGGAGUGGGCCCAUGAAGACGCUCGAACCACCAUCGAGUGCUGGCGUGAAGCAUGCCACCAGCCAGAUAGGCGAGCGGGGCCCUCUAUGGACCACCCAACACCGGGAGGCUCUAGCGGCCUACCCUAUGAGGUGGGCUGCCCAGCCUUUACCCCUGAGCUGCGGCAGUUCCAGUGGCCCUCCCACCGCAUGUUCAAGCCCGACGUUGGCGAGAAGUACAGUGGCAAGACCCACCCGUCAAAGUUCCUCAACAUCUACACCAUCGCAACGCAAGCUGCUAGAGCUCGCGGCGACAAGGUGCUUGCCAAUUACUUCCCAUUGGCACUAAAACCCAAUGUCAUGUCAUGGUUGAUGCACUUGCCAGCGGAUUCCAUUUCUUCUUGGCCGGAUUUGUGUCAUGAGUUCGUUGGCGCCUUCACUGGAGGCCACCAAGCUCAUGGCCAGGCAAGCGAUUUGCAUAUCAUCCCCCAAAAGGAAGGUGAAAACAUGCGCAAGUACAUACAGAGGUUCAGCCGGGUGCAGUACAACAUCCCAGAUGUUCAUCCCGCCACCGUGAUCAGCGCAUUCCAUCACAAUGUGCGCAACCGCAAGAUGCGUGAAGAGCUGGCGAUCAACAAGGUCAAAGAUGUGGCCGAACUUUAUGUUCUGGCCGAUAGGUGUGCUCGAGCUAAAGAGGGAAGGAAGUACCCCGGCGAGGACGCCGGUGCGGAAAUCGACACUACAGACGAAGACACAGUCGCCCCGACGAAGAAAGGCCGGCGUCGCAGCAGGAAGCGCAAGGGCAAGACCGUGCUUGCCGUCGAGGGAUCCGAGGACACCGGCGCUGCCAAGAAGGCCAAGGCAGACGACCCCGGUAAGAAAAUUGCUGGGUGCGCCACUUGCCGGGCCUUGGCGGUUGCCGACAAGCCCGGAGGCUCCGACAAGUGCUACCUCUUGAGCACUGCGUUGGUUUUCCCUUGAAGAGGAAAGGGUGAUGCAGUAGAGUAGCGUAAGUAUUUCCCUCACUUUUUGAGAACCAAGGUAUCAAUCUAGUAGGAGGCCACGCACGAGUCCCUCGCACCUACACAAACAAAUAAACUCCUCGCAACCAACGCGACAAAGGGGUUGUCAAUCCCUUCACGGUCACCUACGAGAGUGAGAUCUGAUAGAUAUGAUAAGAUAAUAUUUUUGCUAUUUUUAUGAUAAAGAGAAAUAAAGAUGCAAGUAAAAUAAAUGGCAAAGGAAAUAACUAAGUAUUGGAAGAUUAAUAUGAUGGAAAAUAGACCCCGGGGCCAUAGGUUUCACUAGAGGCUUCUCUCGAGAGCAUAAGUAUUAUGGUGGAUGAAAAAUUACUGUUGAGCAAUUGACAGAAUUGAGCAUAGUUAUGAGAAUAUCUAGGUAUGAUCAUGUAUAUAGGCAUCACGUCCGAGACAAGUAGACCGACUCCUGCCUGCAUCUACUACUAUUACUCCACACAUCGACCGGUCUCUAGCAUGCAUCUAGAAUAUUAAGUUCAAAAGAACAGAGUAACGCUUUAAGCAAGAUGACAUGAUGUAGAGGGAUAAACUCAUGCAAUAUGAUAUAAACCCCAUAUUGUUAUCCUCAAUGGCAGCAAUACAAUACGUGCCUUGCUGCCCCUACUGUCACUGGGAAAGGACACCGCAAGAUUAAACCCAAAGCUAAGCACUUCUCCCAUUGCAAGAAAGAUCAAUCUAGUAGGCCAAACCAAACUGAUAAUUCGAAGAGACUUGCAAAGAUAACCAAUCAUACAUAAAAGAAUUUAGAGAAGAUUCAAAUAUUGUUCAUAGAUAAACUUGAUCAUAAACCCACAAUUCAUCGAUCUCAACAAACACACCGCUGAAGAAGAUUACAUCGAAUAGAUCUCCACAAGAGAGGGGGAGAACUUUGUAUUGAGAUCCAAAAAGAGAGAAGAAGCCAUCUAGCUAAUAACUAUGGACCCGUAGGUCUGAAGUAAACUACUCACACUUCAUCGGAGAGGCUAUGGUGUUGACGUAGAAGCCCUCCGUGAUCGAUACCCUCUCCGGCGGAGCUCCAGAAAAGGCCCCAAGAUGGGAUCUCAUGGAUACAAAAACUUACGGCGGUGGAAUUAGGGUUUUGGCUUCGUAUCUGGUAGUUUGGGGGUACGUAGGUAUAUAUAGGAGGAAGGAGUACGUCGGUGGAGCAACAUGGGCCCCAUGAGGGUGGAGGGCGCGCCUGGGGGGUAGGCGCGCCCCCUACCUCGUGCCUUCCUUGUUGAUUGCUUGACGUAGGGUCCAAGUCCUCUGGAUCAUGUUCGUUCCAAAAAUCACGUUCCCGAAGAUUUCAUUCCGUUUGGACUCCAUUUGAUAUUCUUUUUCUGCAAAACCCUAAAAUAGGUAAAAAAACAACAAUUCUGGGCUGGGCCUCCGGUUAAUAGGUUAGUCCCAAAAAUAAUAUAAAAGUGUAUAAUAAAGCUCAAUAAUGUCCAAAACAGGAUAUAAUAUAGCAUGGAAUAAUAAAAAAUUAUAGAUACAUUGGAGACAUACCAAGCAUCCCCAAGCUUAAUUCCUGCUCGUCCUCGAGUAGGUAAAUGAUAAAAACAGAAGUUUUAAUGUGGAAUGCUACUUGGCAUAAUUUCAAUGUAAUUCUCUUAAUUGUGGUAUGAAUAUUCAGAUCCGAAAGAUUCAAGACAAAAGUUUAAUAUUGACAUAGAAAUAAUAAUACUUCAAGCAUACUAACUAAGAAAUUAUGUCUCUUCAAAAUAACAUGGCCAAAGAAAGUUAUCCUUACAAAAUCAUAUAGUCUGUCUAUGCUCCAACUUCAUCACACAAAGUAUUCAAAUCAUGCACAACCCUGAUGACAAGCCAAGUAAUUGUUUCAUACUUUUGGUGUUCUCAAACUUUGUCAAUCUUCACGCAGUACAUGAGCGUGAGCCAUGGACAUAGCACUAUAGGUGGAAUAUAAUGGUGGUUGUGGAGAAGGCAAAAAGGGAGAAGAUAGUCUCACAUCAACUAGGCAUAUCAACAUGCUAUGGAGAUGCCCAUCAAUAGAUAUCAAUGUGAGUGAGUAGGGAUUGCCAUGGAACGGAUGCACUAGAGCUAUAAGUAUAUGAAAGCUCAACAAAAAGAAACUAAGUGGGUGUGCAUCCAACUUGCUUGCUCACGAAGACCUAGGGCAUUUUGAGGAAGCCCAUCGUUGGAAUAUACAAGCCAAGUUCUAUAAUGAAAAAAUCCCACUAGUAUAUGAAAGUGAUAACAUAGGAGACUCUCUAUUAUGAAGAUCAUGGUGCUACUUUGAAGCACAAGUGUGGAAAAAAAGUAUUGUCCCUUUUUAUUUAUUCUCUUUUUUGGGCUUUUUUUAUUUGGCCUCUCUCUCUUCUUUUUGGGACAAUACUCUAUGAAUGAUGAUCAUCACACUUCUAUUUAUUUACAACUCAAUGAUUACAACUCGAUACUAGAACAAAGUAUGACUCUAUAUGAAUGCCUCCGGCGGUGUACCGGGAUAGCAAUGAUGCAUGAGUGACUUAUAUGAAAGAAUUAUGAACGGUGGCUUUGCCACAACUAAAAUGUCAAGUACAUGAUCAUGCGAAGCAAUAUGACAAUGAUGGAGCAUGUCAUGGUAAACGGAACAGUGGAAAGUUGCAUGGCAAUAUAUCUCGGAAUGGCUAUGGAAAUGCCAUGGUAGGUAGGUAUGGUGGCUGUUUUGAGAAAGGUAUAUGGUGGGUGUAUGAUAUCGGCGAAAGGUGCGCGGUAUUAGAGAGGCUAGCAAUGGUGGAAGGGUGAGAGUGCGUAUAAUCCAUGGACUCAACAUUAGUCAUAAAUAACUCACAUACUUAUUGCAAAAAUCUAUUAGUUAUCGAAGCAAAGUACUACGUUNNNNNNNNNNNNNNNNNNNNNNNNNNNNNNNNNNNNNNNNNNNNNNNNNNNNNNNNNNNNNNNNNNNNNNNNNNNNNNNNNNNNNNNNNNNNNNNNNNNNNNNNNNNNNNNNNNNNNNNNNNNNNNNNNNNNNNNNNNNNNNNNNNNNNNNNNNNNNNNNNNNNNNNNNNNNNNNNNNNNNNNNNNNNNNNNNNNNNNNNNNNNNNNNNNNNNNNNNNNNNNNNNNNNNNNNNNNNNNNNNNNNNNNNNNNNNNNNNNNNNNNNNNNNNNNNNNNNNNNNNNNNNNNNNNNNNNNNNNNNUCUUAACAUAACGGUUCACCAUAUGUGCAUGCUACGGGAAUCACAAACUUCAACACAAGCAUUUCUCAAAUUCACAACUACUCAACUAGCACAACUCUAAUAUCACCAUCUCCAUAUCUCAAAACAAUUAUCAAGUUUCAAACUUCUCAUAGUAUUCAACACACUCAUAAGAAAAUUUUAUUAUUAAUCUUGAAUGCCUAAAAUAAUUAAAACAAAUUACCAUGCUGUUUUGUAGGACUCUAAAAAUAAUCUAAGUGAAGCAUGAGAGAACAAUGGUUUCUAUAAAACAAAUCUACCAACGUGCUCUAAAAGAUACAAGUGAAGCACUAGAGCAAAAACUAUAUAACUCAAAAGAUAUAAGUGAAGCACAUAGAGUAUUCUAACAACUUAUGAAUCAUGAGUGUCUCUCUCAAAAAGGUGCGUGCAGCAAGGAUGAUUGUGGAAAACUAACAAAUAAAGACUCAAAUAAUACAAGACGCUCCAAGCAAAACACAUAUCGUGUGGUAAAUAAAAAUAUAGCUCCAAGUAAAGUUACCGAUAGAAGCAGACGAAAGAGGGGAUGCCUUCCGGGGCAUCCCAAGCUUUGGCUUUUAGGUGUCCUUAGAUUAUCUUGGGGGUUCCAUGGGCAUCCCUAAGCUUAGGCUCUUGCCACUCCUUGUUCCAUAAUCCAUCAAAUUUUUACCCAAAACUUGAAAACUUCACAACACAAAACUUAAAGUAGAAAAUCUCGUGAGCUCCGUUAGCGAAAGAAAACAAAACACCACUUCAAGAUACUGUAAUGAACUCAUUAUUUAUUUAUAUUGGUGUUAAACCUACUGUAUUCCAACUUCUAUAUGGUUUAUAAACUAUUUUACUAGCCAUAGAUUCAUCAAAAUAAGCAAACAACACACGAAAAACAGAAUCUGUCAAAAACAGAACAGUUUGUAGUAAUAUGUAGCUAACGCAAGAUCUGGAACCCCAAAAAUUCUAAAAUAAAUUUAUGUACGUGAGUAAUUUAUCUAUUAAUCAUCUUCAAAAAGAAUUAACUAAAUAGAAUUUUCCAAAUAAAAAUGGCAGCAGUUCUCAUGAGCGCUAAAGUUUCUGUUUUUUACAGCAAGAUUAAAAAGAUUUUCCCCAAGUUUUUCCAACGGUUCUACUUGGCACAAACACUAAUUAAACACAAAAAUACACAACCAUAACAGAGGCUAGAUAAAUUAUUUAUUACUAAACAGGAGCAAAAGGCAAGGAAUAAAAAUAAAAUUGGGUUGCCUCCCAACAAGCACUAUCGUUUAACGCCCCUAGCUAGGCAUAAAAGCGAAGAUAGAUCUAGGUAUCUUUAGUUGGUAAUUAUUUAAUGAGACAUCUAUCACCUUUAGGAGUUUCUUUCCUUUUAUAAAUAAUCAAACUUCUAGGCACAAAAUUGAAAAAAUCAUUAGUAGCAAAUGGUUCCUUAAUGAUAGUAAAAAGAUUAGGAUGAAUACUUAUAGAUUUGAGAUCCGCAGUUUCUUUGCUAGAGGAUUCACCCUUAUUUUUAGGAACAUACAUAAGCUUGGAAAUUUUAGUUGGAGGACAUGGGGUAUUCUUUACGGAAGAAAAAGCGGUUCCCAAGUUGGUAAUGAUACCCUCAAGUUUAUCGAUUCUAGUGGAAUCAUGAUUUAUUCUUUCAUUAACUAUGGGUUCCUUCUCCUUAAUAUUUUUCAAAGUGACUCCUACUUUAGAUCCAUAUUGAGUAAUUUGGUUGUGGAUCUUUUUAUCGAAAUUUUCAAUUAACUCUAUGGUAGCAACUUUAUUUUCAAUAAUUUCAAGUUUUUGCAUUACAUUCUCCAAAGUUAACAUAGUUCCAUUAACCAAAAGAGGGGGUGAGCCAAAUAUAUCAUAGUAUUAUAGGAAUCAAAAGUGUGGCUAUCCAAGAAGUUCCCUCCGGUAAUGGUAUCAAGGACAUAUCUGUGCCAAGGAAUAGCACCUACAUAAAAAUUGCGAAGAAGAAUAGAAGUAGAUUGCUUCCUGGUAGAUCUAUUUUGAGCAUUGCAAAUUCUAUACCAAGCUUCUUUUAGGCUUUCUCCUUCCCUUUGCUUAAAAUUAAGAACUUCAUUUUUGGGAGACAACGGAGAAGAUAGGGGACUAGCCAUAACAACAAGCAAGCAAACCGACACACAAGCAAACAAGAAACGAGCAAAAAGAGGCGAAUUGAGAAAGAGAGGGAGGAUAGAGAGAGAGGGUGAAUAAAACGGCAAGGGUGACGUGGGGGAGAGGAAAAUGAGAUGCAAAUGGCAAAUAAUGUAAUGCGGGAGAUAAGGGUUUGUGAUGGGUACUUGGUAUGUUGACUUUUGCAUAGACUCCCCGGCAACGGUGCCAGAAAUCCUUCUUGCUACCUCUUGAGCACUGCGUUGGUUUUCCCUUGAAGAGGAAAGGGUGACGCAGUAGAGCAGCGUAAGUAUUUCCCUCAGUUUUUGAGAACCAAGGUAUCAAUCCAGUAGGAGGCCACGCAUGAGUCCCUCGUACCUACACAAACAAAUAAACUCCUCGCAACCAAUGCGAAAAAGGGGUUGUCAAUCCCUUGGCGGUCACCUACGAGAGUGAGAUCUGAUAGAUAUGAUAAGAUAAUAUUUUUGGUGUUUUUAUGAUAAAGAUAAAUAAAGAUGCAAGAAAAAUAAAUGGAAAAGGAAAUAACUAAGUAUUGGAAGAUUAAUAUGAUGGAAAAUAGACCCGGGGGCCACAGGUUUCACUAGAGGCUUCUCUCGAGAGCAUAAGUAUUACGGUGGGUGAACAAAUUACUGUUGAGCAAUUGACAGAAUUGAGCAUAGUUAUGAGAAUAUCUAGGUAUGAUCAUGUAUAUAGGCAUCACAUCCGAGACAAGUAGACCGACUCCUGCCUGCAUCUUCUACUAUUACUCCACACAUCGACCGCUAUCCAGUAUGCAUCUAGAGUAUUAAGUUCAAGAGAACAUAGUAACACUUUAAGCAAGAUGACAUGAUGUAGAGGCAUAAACUCAUGCAAUAUGAUAUAAACCCCAUCUUGUUAUCCUCGAUGGCAAUAAUACAAUGCGUGCCUUGCUGCCCCUACUGUCACUGGGAAAGGACACCACACGAUUGAACCCAAAGCUAAGCACUUCUCCCAUUGCAAGAAAGAUCAAUCUAGUAGGCCAAACCAAACUGAUAAUUCGAAGAGACUUGAAAAGAUAACCAAUCAUACAUAAAAGAAUUCAGAGAAGAUUCAAAUAUUGUUCAUAGAUAAACUUGAUCAUAAACCCACAAUUCAUCGAUCUCAACAAACACACCGCAAAAGAAGAUUACAUCGAAUAGAUCUCCAUAAGAGAGGGGGAGAACUUUAUAUUGAGAUCCAAAAAGAGAGAAGAAGCCAUCUAGAUAAUAAUUAUGGACCUGUAGGUCUGAAGUAAACUACUCACACUUCAUCGGAGAGGCUAUGGUGUUGACGUAGAAGUCCUACGUGAUCGAUACCCCCUCCGGUGGAGCUCCAGAAAAGGCCCCAAGAUGUGAUCUCGUGGAUACAGAAAGUUACGGCGGUGGAAUUAGGGUUUUGGCUCUGUAUCUGGUAGUUUGGGGGUACGUAGGUAUAUAUAGGAGGAAGGAGUACGUCGGUGGAGCAACAUGGGCCCCACGAGGGUGGAGGGCGCGCCUAGGGGGGGUAGGCGCACCCCCUACCUCGUGCCUUCCUUGUUGAUUGCUUGACAUAGGGUCCAAGUCCUCUGGAUCAUGUUCGUUCCAAAAAUCACGUUCCCGAAGGUUUCAUUUCGUUUGGACUCCGUUUGAUAUUCUUUUUCUAUGAAACCCUAAAAUAGGCAAAAAAAACAGCAAUUCUGGGUUGGGCCUCCGGUUAAUAGGUUAGUCCAAAAAAUAAUAUAAAAGUGUAUAAUAAAGCCCAAUAAUGUCCAAAACAGGAUAUAAUAUAGCAUGGAACAAUCAAAAAUUAUAGAUACGUUGGAGACGUAUCAACAAGCAAUACUGCAAGAUCCACCGCACCAAGGGCCACGACCUCCAGAAUUGCCGACAAGUUGAGCUGCUUGCUGAGAAGCAAAAAGCUGAGUAUGAGAGGCGGAACAAGGAGAAGGGCCAGGAUGGUGCCAAGGAUCUAGCAAGAAGCGUGGCGGCCAAGGAGGUCGCCGCAGCAAGGAUAACCAGCAAGAGAGGCCCGCCCAGGGCCGCGACAAGAAGCAGGAAGACGACGGUCAUGAUGAGGACGACGAGUCCAGCGAGUGAUAGCCCACAAGUAUAGGGGAUCGCAACAGCUUUCGAGGGUAGAGUAUUCAACCCAAAUUUAUUGAUUCGACACAAGGGGAGCCAAAGAAUAUUCUCAAGUAUUAGCAGCUAAGUUGUCAAUUCAACCACACCUAGAAACUUAGUAUCUGUAGCAAAGUGUUUAGUAGCAAAGUAAUAUGAUAGUGGUGGUGGCGGCAACAAAAGUAAAGACAGCAAAAGUAAUGUGUUUGGUAUUUUGUAGUGAUUGUAACAGUAGCAGCGGGAAAGUAAAUAAGUGUAAACCAGUAUAUGGAAAACUCGUAGGCACCGGAUCAGUGAUGGAUAAUUAUACCGGAUGCGGUUCAUCAUGUAACAGUCAUAACAUAGGGUGACACAGAACUAGCUCCAAUUCAUCAAUGUAAUGUAGGCAUGUAUUCCAUAUAUAGUCAUACGUGCUUAUGGAAAAGAACUUGCAUGACAUCUUUUGUCCUACCCUCCCGUGGCAGUGGGGUCCUAUUGGAAACUAAGGGAUAUUAAAGCCUCCUUUUAAUAGAGAACCGGAAUAAAGCAUUAGCACAUAGUGAAUACAUGAACUCCUCAAACUAUGGUCAUCACCGGGAGUGGUCCCGAUUAUUGUCACUUCGGGGUUGCCGGAUCAUAACACAUAGUAGGUAACUAUAGACUUGCAAGAUAGGAUCAAGUACUCACAUAUAUUCAUGAAAACAUAAUAGGUUCAGAUCUGAAAUCAUGGCACUCGGGCCCUAGUGACAAGCAUUAAGCAUAGCAAAGCCAUAGCAACAUCAAUCUCAGAACAUAAUGGAUACUAGGGAUCAAACCCUAACAAAACUAACUCGAUUACAUGAUAAAUCUCAUCCAACCCAUCACCGUCCAGCAAGCCUACGAUGCAAUUACUCACGCACGGCGGUGAGCAUCAUGAAAUUGGUGAUGGAGGAUGGUUGAUGAUGACGACGACGAUGAAUCCCCCUCUCCGGAGCCCCAAACGGACUCCAGCCAAGAGGUUUUAGGGCUUGGCGGCGGCUCCGUAUCGUAAAACGCGAUGAUUUCUUCUCUCUGAUUUUUUUCUCAACGAAAGCAAAUAUAUGGAGGUGGAGUUGGAGUCGGAGACGCACCAGGGGGCCCACAAGAUAGGGGGCGCGCCCUAGGGGGGGGCGCCCCCCACCCUCGUGAGAAGGGUGUGGGCCCCCUGGUCUUCAUCUUUGGCGAGGAUUUUUUAUUGUUUUUUCUAAGAUGUUCCGUGGAGUUUCAGGUCAUUCCGAGAACAUUUGUUUUCUGCACAUAAAACAACACCAUGGUAAUUCUGCUGAAAACAGCGUCAGUCCGGGUUAGUUCCAUUCAAAUCAUACAAGUUAGAGUCCAAAACAAGGGCAAAAGUGUUUGGAAAAGUAGAUAUGAUGGAGACGUAUCAACUCCCCCAAGCUUAAACCCUUGCUUGUCCUCAAGCAAUUCAGUUGACAAACUGAAAGAAAGAAAGAAAAACUUUUACAAACUCUGUUUGCUCUUGUUGUUGUAACUAUGUCAAGCUAGCAUUCAAGUUUUCAGCAUAAAUCAUAACUAACCACACUUGCAAUAAUUCUCAGGUCUCAUCAUUACUCAUAUCAAUAGCAUAAUCAACUAGCAAGUCAUAAUAAUAAAUCUCGGAUGACAACACUUUCUCAAACAAUCAUAAUAUGAUAUAACAAGAUGGUAUCUCGCUAGCCCUUUCUGAGACCGCAAAACAUAAAUGCAGAGCACCUUUAAAGAUCAAGGACUGACUAGGCAUUGUAAUUCAUGGUAAAAGAGAUCCAAUCAUAGUCAUACCCAAUAUAAAUUAACAGUGAUGAAUGCAAAUGACGGCUGCAUUCUCCAGCUAGUGCUUUUUAAUAAGAGGGUGAUGACUCAACAUAAAAGUAAAUAGAUAGGCCCUUCGCAGAGGGAAGCAGGGAUUUGUAGAGGUGCUAGAGCUCAGUUUUGAAAUAGAGAGAAAUUGUAUUUUGAGCGGUAUACUUUCAUUGUCAACGUAACAACUAAGAGAUGGUGAUAUCUUCCAUGCUAAACACAUUAUAGGUGGUUCCAAAAUAGAAUGGUAAAGUUUAUACUCCCCCUCCACCAACAAGCAUCAAUCCAUGGCUUGCUCGAAAUAAUGAAUGCCUCCAACAUACAUCAGGUCCCAGGGGGAGUUUUGUUUGCAAUUAAUUUUGAUUUAGUUUGCAUAAAGCAUGGGACUCGGCAUCCCGGUGACCAGCCAUUUUCUCGUGAGUGAGGAGCGGAGUCCACUCCUCUUGAGAAUAACCCGCCUAACACGGAAGAUAAGGACAGCCUUUGUUGAUACAUGAGCUAUUCGAGCAUACAAAACAGAAUGUUUAUUUGAAGGUUUAGAGUUUGGCACAUACAAAUUUACUUGGAACGGCAAGUAGAUACCGCAUAUAGGAAGGUAUGGUGGACUCGUCUGGAAUAACUUUGGGGUUUAAGGGAUUGGAUGCACAAGCAGUAUUCCCGCUUAGUACAAGUGAAGGCUAGCAAAAGACUGGGAAGCAACCAGCUAGAGAGCGACAACAGCCAUGUACAUGCAUUAAAAUUAAUAAACAUUGGAUGCAAGCAUGAAUAGGAUAUAAUCCACCAUGAACAUAAAUAUCAUGAAGGCUAUGUUGAUUUUGUUUCAACUACAUGCGUGAACAUGUGCCAAGUCAAGUCACUUAAAUCAUUCAAAAGAGGAUACCACCCCAUCAUACCACAUCAUAAUCAUCUCAAUAGCAUGUUGGCAUACAAGGUAAAUCAUUAUAACCCAUAGCUAAUCAAGCAUGGAACAAGCAACUAUGAUCUCUAAUUGUCAUUGCAAACAUGUUUAUUCAUAAUAAGCUGAAUCAAGAACGAGGGACUCAUCAUAUUUACAAAAACAAAAGAGGUCGAGUUCAUACCAGCUUUUCUCAUCUCAGUCAGUCCAUCAUAUAUCAUCAUAAUUGCCUUUCACUUGCACGACCGAACGGUGUGAAUAAUAAUAAGAGUGUACGUGCAUUGGACUAAGCUGGAAUCUGCAAGCAUUCAAUAAACAGGAGAAGACAAGGCAAUAUGGGCUCUGGUUAAAUCAACAAUAAUGCAUAUAAGAGCCACUUCAACAAUUUAAUAAUGGUCUUCUCCUACUGACCCCCAAAGAAAAGAAAAGAAAUAAAACUAUUUACAUGGGAAAGCUCCCAACAAGCAAAAGAAGAACGAGAAAUAUUUUUGGGUUUUCUUUUUAAUUAUUCUAAGUGCAUCUAGUGCCCCUUAGUGAUUUUGGUGUAUUGAAGACUUAUAGGUUAAGGGACUAAUGCGUGUGUGAGUGUACACAGGUCUAUAAGUCUAUGAGGAGUUUGACAUUUACAGGAAAAGUCGACCCCUAAAAAUGAAUAUCUUUGACUGAAGAUUUUGGUAUUUCUGAAGACUUUCAUGAAGACUUUAAAAGUGAAGAAAUUGGUGUGUCCGUGAAGACUUGAUAUUCAUGCGAGAAAUAUGAAGCUUGAAGACUUUCGUUUUCAUAGUUUUGUUUUUCUCUUUCUUGAGUCAUAGGAAACACCGUACUGUUAAAGGGGGUCGAGGAAAUACUAAGGAAAAAUUUCCAUGUGAUGCUCAACUCAAAAUCCUACACCUACCAAUCCCUUCGAGUGAAGCCAUUGGAAUUACUUGAUGAAAUUGAUCUGAUGAAUUGAUGUCAUAUUCUUCACUGAUGAAGUAUAUGAGUUUGUAAGCUGCACUAAUUCAUCUGCAGGAUGAUCCACCCAAAGCCACUGAGUGGGUCCUUGAUAGUGGAUGUACAAACCACAUGACUGGUGACAAGAAUCUAUUGAUGGAUGCUCCAUUAUCUCCGUCGCAUCUGAAGCAUAUCAUCUUUGCUGACAAAGGCAAAAGUUAGGUAUUGGGUCUAGGUAAGGUUGCGAUUACAAAGGAUCGACACAUGGACAAAGUCAUGCUUGUUGAGUCCUUAGGAUACAACCUUAUGUAUGUCUCAAUGCUUUGUGAUCUUGAUAUGGUUGUUGUCUUUGGCAAGUACCAUUGUGUUGUGGUUAUGGAAGCUGACAAUUCCAAAGUCUUCGAAGGCUUUAGGAGAGGAGACCUGUAUAUUGUUGAUUUCUCUACAGGACCACAACCAGCCAUGUGCUUACUUGCAAAAGCUUCAGAAGGCUGGCUCUAGCAUCGACGACUUGGUCAUGCAUGCAUGAGGAAUUUGCACACGCUUGCGAAGAAGAAGCAUGUCAUUGGCAUCGAGAAUGUCAAAUUCCUCAAGGAUCACUUAUGCGGAGCCUAUGAAGCUGGGAAGAUGACCAAGGCCAAGCAUCUAGCGAAGACUAUCAUGACCACCACUCUCCCAUUUGAAUUGCUUCACAUGGAUCUCUUUGGUCCUAAUCAUUAUUCUGCUAUCUCAAAUGAAGCAUCUCAAUAUGGCUUCGUUAUUGUUGAUGAUUAUUCUCAUCACACAUGGGUACACCUUGUUACUUACAAACAUGAAGUGCAGGAAGUCUUCAAAUGAUUUUCCUCGAGGGCUUCAACCAACUUUGGUGUGAAGAUCAAGCACAUCAGAAGUGACAAUGGCACUGAGUUCAAGAAUUCUGGUCUCGAUGACUAUCUUGAUGAACUUGGUAUCACUCAUGAGUUAUCUGCUCCUUACACUCCUCAGCAGAAUGGCAUCGUGGAGCGCAAGAACAGGACUCUUGCUGAGAUGGCUCGCACUAUGCUUGAUGAAUACAAAACGCCUCGUCGUUUCUGGACUGGGGCAAUUGAUACUAUGUGCCACAUCAUCAACAGAGUAUAUCUUCACAAAUUCUUCAAAAAGACUGCCUAUAAACUCCUCACUGAUAAGAAACCCAAUGUAAGUUAUUUAAAAGUCUUCGGUGCUAAAUGUUGGAUUAGAGAUCCUCAUCACAACUAAAAAUUUGCACCGAAAGCACAUGAAGGUUUUAUGCUUGGUUACGGAAAGGACUCGCACACCUACAGAGUCUUCAACAACGUUCUUCACAAAGUUGUUGAAACUGUAGAUGUGCGGUUCGAUGAAACUAAUGGCUCGCAAAGAGAGCACCUACCUACUGUGAUAGAUGAACCAGCACCUGAGGAAACUAUCAAGUUCAAGGCUACUGAGGAUGUCAUUCCUACUAAAGAAUCUGCUAAAGAAUUCAUUCCAGAACAUGAAGAACGUCAAGCUAAUGCACCUGAAGAAAAUGCUGAAGAAAAUGGUGCUGAAGAAAACGCUGAUCAAACUCUUCAACGACAACCAGCUCAUCCUCGCAUUGCAAAAGAAGUGCAAGUUGAAAAGAUCAUCAAUGACAUCAAAGCGUCAGGUCCUCUCACACGCUCAAAAGCUUCACAUUUGUCUAACUUUUGUGGGCAGUAUGCUUUUGUCUCUAUUACAGAGCCCACUAAGGUAGAUGAAGCAUUUCUGGAGCCUGAGUGGAUUCAGGCCAUGCAAGAAGAAUUACAUCAGUUCGAGCUUAACAAUGUCUGGGAACUGGUCAAACGUCCAGAUCCUCGCAAGCAUAAUAUCAUCGGCACAAAGUGGAUCUACCGCAACAAGCAAGAUGAAAAUGGCCUUGUGGUGAGGAAUAAGGCACGGCUUGUAGCUCAAGGCUACACACAGGUUGAAGGAAUUGAUUUCGAUGAAACUUUUGCACCUGUUGCUAGACUUGAGGCUAUUCGCAUAUUACUUGCUUAUGCUAACCAUCAUGAUAUCACUCUAUAUCAAAUGGAUGUGAAAAGUGCAUUCCUCAAUGGUAAGCUUGAGGAAGAAGUGUAUGUUGCUCAACCCCGAGAUUUUGAAGAUCCAAAGAAUCCUGACAAAGUCUUCACACUCAACAAGGCCCUCUAUGGCCUCAAGCAGGCCCCACGGGCUUGGUAUGAUACUUUGAAGGAACUCUUCAUGAAGAAAGGCUUCAAACCCGGUUCACUCGACCCUACUCUUUUCACUAAAUCUUAUGAUGGUGAAUUGUUUGUGUGCCAAGUAUAUGUUGAUGAUAUUAUCUUUGGCUAUACUGACCAACGUUAUAGUGAUGAAUUUGACUAUAUGAUGAGUGAAGAAUAUCAAAUGUCUAGGAUGGGAGAGUUGAAAUUCUUCUUAGGUCUUCAAAUUCGUCAACAACACAAUGGCAUAUUCAUAUCUCAGGAGAAAUACCUCAAGGAUGUACUGAGGAAAUUCGGCAUGCAAGAUUGCAAAGGCGUCAAAAUUCCUUAUUAUACUUAUGUGCAUCUAACCUAUGCAAUGGCCAUCUAUGCACUUCGAUCAUAAGGUAUACCGCUCCAUGAUAGGUUCCUUAUUAUACUUAUGUGCAUCUAGGCCAGAUAUAAUGCUUAGUGUUUGCAUGUGUGCCCGAUUUCAAGCUGCACCGAAGGAAUCACACCAUAAGGCUGUGAAGCAUAUUCUUCGAUAUCUAGCUCACACACCAACACUUGGAUUAUGGUACCCCAAGGGCUCGGCUUUUGAUCUUGUUGGAUAUUCUGACUCUGACUAUGCCGGUGAUCGUGUGGAUCGCAAGUCAACAUCUGGUACAUGUCAUUUCCUCGGACGAUCUUUGGUCUGUUGGUCCUCGAAGAAACAGAACUGCGUAUCACUAUCUACUGCUGAAGCUGAGUACAUUGCCGCUGGUUCUUGCUGUGCCCAAUUGCUAUGGAAGAAGCAAACUCUCAAGGACUACGGCUUCAACAUGGAGAAUGUAGCUCUCUUCUGUGACAAUGAGAGUGCCACCAAGAUUGCUCACAACCCAGUUCAGCACUCGAAGACAAAGCACAAUCAGAUUCGUCAUCAUUUUCUUCGUGAGCAUGUGUUGAAGGGCGACAUUUCUAUUGAGCAUGUGAAGACUGAAGAACAGCUAGCCGAUAUCUUCACAAAGCCCUUGGAUGAGAAGAGAUUUAGCAAGUUGCGGUGUGAGCUAAAUAUCUUAGAGUCUUCGAAUGUUCUUUGAAAAGGACACUCAUCCUAACACUUAUGCAAAAUUGAUGACUUAGAUGUGCAACACAUGAAGAAACGUUUUUCUUCAAUCAAUGAAGAAUAACACUCUUAGUGUGAAGAAAUUAACGAAGAAUUUGAUUCUCAGAACCCUACGAUAAUUGUACGCGGUAUCUGAAAUCAUCAUUCUUAUACGGUGGGUCACGCCACCACCAAAAGUUGAAAUUCCUUGAAUUAUUCAUAUUCUUCAACUUUGCAUAGUCUUCACUGGUUCCGUCGUUUUUCUUCAUUGGCUAUAUAUAUAUAUAUAUAUAUAUAUAUAUAUAUAUAUGAGUUUAUGUCCUCUACAGCAUUCACUUAUUGCUAUUUCUUCAAGUUGGUUUUCAGCUAAGUGAAUGUGAUCGGACCCUUCCCCUCUAUGCUAUACUCAACCCAAUCUGUUCACAAAUUCUUCAUGUGCAUUCUAUUUGAAACUCGUUCAAAAUCUUCACUGUGUCCUUGUCAGCUGAAGAAAUUGUGAAUGGAACUUUAAAACCUAUCUUAUCGAAAUUUUCGGUUUUGCCGUUCAAACCGUUCCGCAUCCCUCGAUACACUUAUCCACUCACCCACGAUCUAACACGAUCUCCACCUCUCACUACGUGGGUGACACAUGUCAUGCGAAUGAGAAGGGUCAGGGGCACGUUCAUCCAAUUUCUUCGGGCGAGCAGUUUUUCACCGUGGCUAUAAAUACCCCUCCUUCCCUUCCUCACUUCUUUUACUCCGCUCGACCUCUCUCUCCAGCUCGAGCUUCUCAAACCCUAGUGCCACCGCUACUUCAUCACCGCCGGUGAGGAAGAGCUUCACUGCCUCGACCUCGUCGCCGACGUACUCGCGCCGACCGCGGACAUCUUCACUCCGCCACCGUCGUAGCCGUCUUCCUCCGCCAAGUUAGGGCAUGGAAGAUUUGCACAGACGAACUUCACAUCUCCUCACUCCAGUUCAUCGUGUUCUUCAUCCAGGGUAAAUAAAAGUUACUUUUACUGCCCUCGUUGAUUCGAAUGAUUAUCUACAAAAUCUUCAAAAGUGUUUUUUUCUUCAUAUCUUCACACACUGAACACCUCACAAGUCAUAUGUUCUUGAUUCGUUUCUCUAAGCAUCAUUUUUCUUCAAGAUUCCUCAAUUGUGUGGAUCAUCGAUCUAUACAACUCUGGAACCUAAGACAAAGAACGCUUAGUGAAAAUCUUCAAGACUCAUCUGGUCAAAUUCCUCAAACCUGUUCAUUUUGAAAAACCUUCUGAGAACGCAUAUGACCUCUCCAAAUUCCUCGCAACUAUACUCUGUUCACAGGUACACAUGUCAGCUGCUGAAUCACUAGGCUCUCAUCAACUUAACUCAUUUGCAGUGUUCCUCGAAGAAAAGUUGCAUACUUCUUCAGAGAAUUCGAUUGUUCAAAUUCCUCAACUAAAGAAAAUGGCUGAUGGUAAAAGGCCAUAGAAGGGAGGAAAGAGGCCUGAGGUAAAUACAGCGUUUGAGAUCCCUGAUGACAUAUAUGCUGGGUACUGCACACCUACUGAGGAAACCAAGAAUGAGCGCAAAGUACGUAUUCAGAAGAUAGAGAGGAGAUGGGCAAGAGAAUGGAGGGAGUACAGAUAUGUCACUCCUAAGUAUAUGAAGAAAUUCGCACUCAAUCCUCCAUGCCCAAGAGCUCCAUUGGCACCUGGCCAAAUAGCAGAUCCCACCAGCCUCAAGCGAGGUGAGGACUAUCCUGAUGAAUGGGCCAAGUGCCAAGCCAAGCUGGCUAAGCAAGCCAGAGAAGCAGUGAGGAAAUUUAAUGAAGACUCUGCUGCUACUGCUACCUCUGCUGAGGUCCUUGUUGUCAAGCAAAAGAAGGCUAUGUCAAAGAAGCCUGCGCACAAGCCAAGUGCUUCCUCAGCAAUGCCCUCACGGCCAGAAUCAUCAAAGCCCUCACAGCCAAUUCCUCAUGCUGCUCCUAUUCCUCCAAAGUCCUCAGCUCCUCCACCAAAGCCUUCAGCUGUUCCGACCAAAUCCUCAGCACCUGUGCAUCUUGCUUCGUGCCAAAGGACUGCCGGCAUCUCCAUUGCCUCAGGUGUCUCAGCUAGUUCCUCAGCUGCACCAAGUUCCUCAGCUGGCCCCUCACUACUGAAGACAAAGGCCACUGCUGGACGAGGUCCACGCCCAAGUCCUCAAAAGAAGCAAGUCGCUUUCCAAGUGCCGUCUGAUGAAGACGAAGCUGAUGAUGAUGAACUUGCAGAAAUCAUCAGAGACAGGCAUGUCAGGGCCGCUAGAGCCAAUGGAUCAGAGGUGCCACUGCUUUUGGAUCCCAAGCUGAUCCUCGACUACAUUGAUGAUUGGCACAAGAACCCCAACACUCCCUUGCCCGACUUCAAGCUGACUCCUGGCCAAAGUCACAUGCUGACCCACUUCAUUCAAGAAGAAAAGUGGAAAUUUGAGAAGGCCAAGCAGAUCAAAAAAGCGCAGUACAAGAAAGAGCGCUAUCUGAAGAAAAACGUUGUCUCUAUGACAACUGAAGAACUUGUCACUACUCAGACUGAGAUUAAGAAACUCAGUGAUGACUUUGAAGCAUAUCGCGCUGAUUGGCUUGGAGCCAAGGUUUGUUUUGUGAAACUUGCGGAUAACUUCACUUCCAAUGUUGCAGCCCCAACGCAACAGGAAAUUCCUCAGGCUGAAGCAUCUGCUCAGCCUACUGAAGAAAAUGCCAGCACCGCUGAUGACAAUCAGGAUGCUAAAGAUAAUGUGAGUUCCAGGGCUGAUGACUGCAUUCCAGCCGCUGAAGAAAUUGCCAGGGCACCCACUAGUGGUGUGCCUGAAGAAACUGAAGAACUCAGGGAAACUGCAUCAGUUGUGCCUAAAGAAAAUCAACCAGAUUCCUCAGCUUCUCCUGCACCAACUUUAACUUCAAUCCUUCCAUCUGCAUCGGAUGUGAAGAAGACCAAGGCUGCAGAGUGUUCUACAGUGAAGAAAAGGAAAGCAUCAGCUGCUUCAGAUUCUUCAGCUCCGAAGAAAAUGAAGCCUAUGACAAGCUCAUUUGCAAAUCCGAUUGAUGUUGUUCCCAUCUCAACCAGGCCAUCAAAGGACCUUGUUACUUUUGAUGAAGAAUAUGUGAUCCCCAGCGGAUCUGAUGAAGAAACUCAUUCUGCUGCUUCGUCUGAACCAUUGGAUGAAGAAAUUGAAGUGGAUGUGAUCCCUUCAACACCUAUCAUCUCCUCUCCUAUGCCUCAGUUCACAGCUGAAGAGGCUGGCGUUGAAGAAAUGGAAGAUGAUGAUGUGGACAUUGGCUGCUCCACACCCGUCAUCAGUGAUGAAUUCUGGGAAAGUCAGCAUCCAAACUCUCCAAUGUUCACCCCUCUACAGCAAAUUCCUCAGUCCCCCACACAAACUGUUCACAUGGGCUCUGAAGAAACUCAUCCCACUGCAUAUGUCCAUGAGGAAAUUCCAGCCACUAGCGCUGAUGAAACUGUUGCUGCUGCACAACCAACUACGCAGACUGCCACUGAGGAAGAACCAGAAAUUCCUCAGCCUGAAGAACCUGCGAUUGAGAUUCCUAAGGUUGUGAUGCAACUCACUAACACUCCUCUGCCAAAGCCAAAGGAUCCAUUCUCGCGCAAGCAAAAGUUCAAGGCUGAUGAUUUCUUCGGCGAGCACGUAUUCUUCGAAGAUUACAACCCAUAUGACUCUGCUCACAUUAGGAAGAGGUGUUUCUGGACUGCUAGUCAAGCCAAUUUCUAUUCCUCAGUGCUAUUCAACAAGGAGAAGAUUUUCUACCAUGAGCAUAUUCCUCACGUGGAUAUGGAAUCUCUGCCGUGCUUCGCACCAGUCCUCAGUGUUCUUCACGAUGCUGGGCUGCUCAACUUUUGCUCUGACAUUUGCGAUUGGAAUGAAGAACUGAUUCUUCAAUUCUAUGCAACGCUGCACAUCACCGGAGAUCCUGAAGAUGUGAAUUCAUGGGUGCUGGACUGGAUGUCUGAAAACACUCACUACACUGCACCAGCCUCUGAAUUGCUUCGUGCUCUACCACUCAGUCCUCCCCUUGAAGAAGCUCGCUGCAUCUACAGUGAACCUGAGCUCACGCAUCAUUACUUGCAGGUGCUGAUGAAACCUUUGAAGCCAGGUCAAGCACCAAGAACCAAAUUCCUUGUGAAGGAAUUGUUGUACGUGCCCAGAACUAUCUAUCGUAUUCUUAUGAGGACAAUCAGUCCUAUCAAAGGCCACGACUCAUCUGAUGAGGAAAUUGUUGGCAUCAUGAAGAAUCUGGUAUUCAACAUCAUUCAUGGCAUUCCUGUCAAUUAUCACGAUUUCUUCAUGAGGACUAUGGCCAAUGUUGCACUGUCUCCGUUUGAGCUGAAGCCUUAUGCACCUUGGAUCAUGAGAUUCCUCAGGACAAGGUCUUCACUCAACUACAAAGCUUAUUUCCAGAAUCAUCUCAGCUACUUGCCCCCAAUUGAAGUCCUCAAGCAGACAUAUUCCUCAGUUGAUGGAAAGGGCAAGGCACCAACUGUAAUUGAUGAAGGCAUUCGUCCAUUGGAUGGUCAGUUUCGCAAAGUUGCAUCUUAUUCCACCAAUGAUGACUCUGCCACACAUGACUCUGCCAAUGCACCUAAGUCCACUCCUCAAGCCACUGCUCCUCGCGUGAUGACUGACCGUGAACUUCUGCUUAGUCUUCACCAGAAGGUGGAUCGAAAUCACAAAUGGGUUAAGCGUCAGUUUGGUUCACUUCUUCACAACAUGACUGCCACACACAAUGAAGUGAAGAAAAACCACUACUACCUCCAUCAAGUCUUCGGUCGCACCUGGGCAAUCCUGUCACAUCUAUAUGGUGAAGAAGAUCUGAAGAACAUGGGUCUUAAUGAAGAUUUUGACUGGUCUACACCUCCUCCGAAGAAAUUCAAGAAGGUCAAGGUUCCUUCUCUGGUGGCCAGCUCAUAUUCUUCAUCGCGCGACACUGAUGAACAUGAAGAUUUGGACGACACUGCGGCAGGCCCUACAUCAACAAACGACCCCAACAACACCGGCGCUCCUUCAUCAACAUGAUUAUCUUCAGGGGCGUUAGUCCUCAUUUUCGAUCCUUUUGGUCAUUCGAUGACAAAGGGGGAGAAAUAUGAGUUAGUCUUCAAGCGGGUCUACUAUAUGGGCGUUUUUAUCUGCUAAGUUACAACUCUCGUUCUUCUGAAACUUUAUUGGAUCGAGUUGUAAUCUUAAACCUGAUGGUGCUCUGAUACUUUUGAUGCAUUGUUCUCUGAUACUCUUGAUGCACUAUUCUGCAUGUUUAUUCCUCGUUAAAUAUUAUUGCACGCAUGCUGAAUUUCAUCAGGCACCAUAUUUCAUCAUGCAUUUCAAAUUCUUCGUAUUAUAUGUUAAAUGCAUGUAUGAAUUACAAGAUAUAGGGGGAGAUCUCCAUGAUUCAACUCUUCAAGUGUGCAUUGCUUCAAAAGAAAAUUCCUCACUAUGCACAUCUUUAGGGGGAGUUCUUCUAUAUCUUGCAAUCAAAUUCCUCAAUAUCAGUAUUUACACUUCAUAUGUUUAUUCCCGUUGAAAACUUAACCUAUAUUGUCAUCAAUCACCAAAAAGGGGGAGAUUGUAAGUGCAUCUAGUGCCCCUUAGUGAUUUUGGUGUAUUGAAGACUUAUAGGUUAAGGGACUAAUGCGUGUGUGAGUGUACACAAGUCUAUAAGUCUAUGAGGAGUUUGACAUUUACAGGAAAAGUCGACCCCUAAAAAUGAAUAUCUUCGACUGAAGAUUUUGGUAUUUCUAAAGACUUUCAUGAAGACUUUGAAAGUGAAGAAAUUGGUGUGUCCGUGAAGACUUGAUAUUCAUGCGAGAAAUAUGAAGCUUGAAGACUUUCGUUUUCAUAGUUUUGUUUUUCUCUUUCUUGAGUCAUAGGAAACACCGUACUGUUAAAGGGGGUCGAGGGAAUACUAAGGAAAAAUUUCCAUGUGAUGCUCAACUCAAAAUCCUACACCUACCAAUCCCUUCGAGUGAAGCCAUUGGAAAUCUCAUACAGUUCAGUCAAUUUCUUUAGUGACAGAGACGAAGUUCUUCUGGUCUCUGAGGAAUUUGUCCUGACUAAGGAGUUAGGAAUUCGCCAAUGCGGAUUGCCUACACAGUGAAGAACAUGAUAGCCCUGAGGAUUUUACUACUCAAAAUUCCGACUGUUGCUGUGCUAUGCGCCAGCUGUCCCAAAAUAUAUAUCCACCUAACGGUCAUAUCAUUGAAGGGCAUUUAUGUCUUAUCAUGUCAGGCUGCUCCCUAGGAUAUAAAUAGCCGCCCCCUACAACCACUAGCUGGUUGGAUGCUCCAAGAGAAACUGACACUUGUCAUUUGAGAGCAACCCAUCCUCCGAGGACUUUGAGCGAAAAUCAUCAAGUGAGGAAAAACCAAGAACCCAAAACCCAAACACCUACAAAGCCCAAGUGAUUGAGCAUCACUGAAGAGAUUGAUCCUGAGUGGAUCCGACGCUUGUUACCUUUGAAGACUGUGCUUCUUCCAGACGGUUAGGCGUCAUGGUCUAGAGCAUCCAAGAGGAAUUGUGGAUCGCCGAGUGACCAAGUCUGUGAAGGUUUGGAAGUCGCCUGAAGACUUACCACGAGUGAUUGGACGAGGUCUGUGUGACCUUAGUUCAAGGAGAAUACGGUGAGGACUGGGUGUCUUGGAAUAAGUGUCCUUGACUGGGUGUCCGGGACUGUGUGUCCUCGAGUUUAAAUACUCAGCUGCUCCAACCAGACGUACAACUGAGACAGCAGUUGGAACUGGUCUACCAAAUCAUUGUCUUCACCGAGCUUACUGGUUUUAUUUCCUCAACUCUUUCAUUUCCUCAUAACUGUGUUGUAUGUUUGUUCAUAUCUGUGUUUGAAGACUUUGACUGAAGACUUUCUCAAUUUCCUCAGUUCAAUUUCUUCAGUCUGUUUGUCUUCAUCCUGUGUUAUCCUGUGAUUACUCUUCCUGUACUCUGUGUCUGUCUUCAUUUCAUCAUGAUGACUAUGCUUGUA